Molecule: long non-coding RNA, 56281 nt
Filed under: Gossypium barbadense (sea-island cotton)
Lineage: Eukaryota; Viridiplantae; Streptophyta; Magnoliopsida; Malvales; Malvaceae
Description: long non-coding RNA (GBAR_LNC022000)
Rfam family: MIR7502 microRNA precursor family (bases 36885-37029)
Source: RNAcentral
UUUUUAUUUUUUUUUGUAAUAUUUUGGUAAAAAACCCAUAGAUAAAUAAGAUUCCAAAGUUUGUAUGGUAAUACUGCUACAGUUAUUAGUUGUUAUUUAAUUAUCUAACAUGGUUUGAUUAAUGAUUAUUAAAUGUAUGUAUUAUAAAUAGUUGUAAAUAUUAUUUGUGAAUUGAGAUUAUUGAAUAUCUUAAAUAGUUGAAUAGAAGUAAUGAAUAUGAGUCUAGAAAGUAAUUAAAUGGAUCGUUCGAUAUAUAUAUUUGAGUCGAUGAACGUAGGAUAGGAUAUAAUUGGCAUGUCAAUAGGUUAUAUCGCGCACUGUAUAGGAGUGAUUGGUGGUGAAAUGAUGAUUUCUGAUUUAUUAUUGUCUAUUGAAUAUAUCAAACUCUAGCAUUUGUUACAGACUAUCAUGUCAUAUUGCAGUGAUUCAGGUGUGUUAUCGGGGGCAAAUGUAAAGCCUUUGGGUUUGGCACUCAGUACCUAGGUGUGUUUCGGAGGGAUGUUAGCCUAUGGGCUUGGCACUUGAUGUCCAGGUGUGUCCUCGGUUGAUUAGCUCAUUUGAGUGUUCUGGUGUGUUCUAGAUGGUUAAUCGUGUAUCCGGAUUUGUUAUAUUGUUCAUCGAGUAUAUUAGUACUUUAAGUGGUUAUAUGAUUUUCUAAUUAGUUAAUAUGAAUUGAUAAUGUAUGAUCUAGUUCAAUUGAGUUGAUUAUCUAUUAUGAGUAUUGAUAGUAAGACUCACAUGUUAAAUGAUUGUGAUUGACAGCAUUUUAGUUUAACUAAUAGUGUGUGAUUUCCUGACAUAUAUUGAUGACCCCCACUCAACUUUCUCUUAUUUGAUAAGGGUGAACAAAUUGGAUAUCCCCAAAAGUCCUCCCUUAUUGUCCUUCAUCCAACUCCAUCUCUAUCCUAAUCUCAUCCCUCGAAUAAUCCCUCAGCCAUCUACUAGCAACCGGCGUCGCUUUUCAUGGUGGAGCUCUUAGAGAAUAUCCCAACCAAACACCACCUCCUGUGAUCCCUCCGUCAAUCUAACUGGACAAAAACCUUCUCUGUAACCCAACCUACCACAUAAAAAACAAAACAAAGUGAUCUUCUCAUAUUGAAACAUUGCGUACGUUGAUCUAUUCUGCUAAAAAAACAACACGCUUCUUCCUCUUCAACGAAAUCUGAGCAUCCAAUAUAACCUUAAUAAACAUAAACUUCUUCACACCUUUCAUCACUAACGCAACAUCAUACUUCAGGAUUUGGCUAAUGAAGUUUCCAAAUUGUCACGCCAUUCCUUUUGACAUGAAACUCAUCGGUAAAUUAUGAACUUGCAACCAAAAUAUGGCAUAAAUGAAAGGAACUUGUAAAAGAUCCUCUCCCUUCACUCUUAUAUAAAAAACAAUAAGGUGUUUAUUAAAAAACCAGGGAAUUCCAUCCAUUACCCUUUAUAGAUCUACCUCAUUAAAAAAAUCGAAACAAGACAUAACUUUUCCCCGAUCUCCGUAAUGGACACUCCUCCAAACGGUUGCCAUAGAUCUACCAAAAUGUUCCUCAUCGAUGGGAAAUGUACCAUGCUAUCCAUUAACACUCGCCUUACCAAACACAAGCUAUAAUGUUAUGAACCUAAGUGCUGCUGAGGGCUCUGCUUGGGAAUACGCAGCCCAAAGGACCCAAAAGGUGAGAAGAAGCUCUCGCAUGAGGCACUUGCCUAAGCAAUAUAAUGACUUCAUACCAGUAUAACACAUGGGUAAAUGAUGGGCGAACAGAGAAUAUUGGUGCACACACUCGGAGGAAGAUUUUCUAUAAAAUGAUUACCUUGGCAGGGAAUGGGGGAUUAUUGUUUUUUUUAUUAUGAAAAUCGUUGUUCUUUCUCUCAUCUCAACCUCUUCUCUCUGAGCUUCUUCAUAUUUAUCCUUUUUCUUUUAAAAGAACUUGUACGUUCCCUUCAUUAAAUACAGAAUCUACUCUAUUUUUACCUUCAGAACUGUCAUUUGAGAAUUUAUAAUUCCCCUGCUCUUAACAUUGGAACUUUUAUUGAGUCUCUACAAAUAUGGUAGAGUAUCAGACCCGACUUCGCGUUUUGGACGACAACAUCAAAUCAUUGACCGAGUCUCAGAAUUCACUUUUCACUACUCAGAACGCUCUCCGUCGAGACUUCAAUCUCCUUGUUGCCUCUUUCGAUGAGCAAAAGGCCUUGCUCCGUGAAUUGGCCAAUCAACGCACUUCUUCUCAGUUUUUAAGUUCGGCACCUUCUCCACUUUCUAACUCUCAACCUCCAUUGGGACUACAUAAACCAGCCUCCGUUCAACUGGCCCGGUUCUCCGGUAUCAACCCUGACCGUUGGCUAAUGCAAGCCGAUCGAUACUUCACUUUUUACAACAUCAGAGAUGAAGACCGCGUAACUAUUGCCUCCUUUUAAUUCGACGAGGUUGCUUUCGAUUGGUAUGAUUGUUGUUCCGUAAUCGUCAGCUUGCUGGUUGGCAGGCGUUCUCGGCGUCGCUCCUCGCCCGUUUCUGUUCUCGCGAUUUGGAAGAGCCAGAAGGUUUCUUUGCUAAACUGCACCAAAUAACUUCUGUGAGUGCCUAUCUUUCAGAAAUUGAGGUUGUUACCAAUUAAGCUAUCUGUUUGUCGGCCCACUUCUUGGUCCAGUGCUUCAUUUCUAGGCUUCACUCCGACAUCAAGCACUUCGUGCUCAUCUAUCGGCCCAGAACUUUAGAUGAUGUUAUGCAGUUGGCCCAACUUCAUGAGAGAUGCAUUGGUCUGGAAAAAUCCCCUACUAGACCUAUUCCAACCCUCAGUACCACUAAGCCUCUCCUUCCCACUCAUUCCCUUUCCCCAAAAAUUAACCCCACUAUUUCGCAACCUCCUCCAACCCAAUCUACAACCACUUUACCCGUUUGCUGUCUUAUCCCAUCGGAGGCUGCCCAACGGUGAUCCCAAGGAUUAUGCUAUCCUUGUGAUGAGAAAUAUUCCUGGGAUAAUAAAUGCAAGUCUAAACAUCAGCUUUUAUUACUUGAGAAUGAUUUGGAGCCCACACACGGCCCCGGUCCUGACUUCUCUUCAAUGGAUUUGUCUUCUCCAAUGUAGUCCGCCAUAUCUUACAGUGCACUCGUCGGUGGCUGCGCUGUUUUGACGCUCCGAUUUCAAGGUUCGGUGUUUGAGAAACCUGUGCAAGUGUUAUUAGAUGGAGGUAGCACUCAUAACUUCGUUCAAACACGCGUCGCGUCCUAUUUGAAUUUGACAGUCACCACCACUCCCAGUUUUUCUGUUUUAGUGGUGAGUGCCUCCCUUGCAAUGGCAUCGUUCAACAAGUUCCCUUGGUUAUCCAAAAUUAGGAGAUUCUUAUUGAUUUUUUCGUUCUUCCUAUUCAAUGAUGGGACAUGGUCUUGGGAGUCGAAUGGUUAGUGAAGCUGGAACUAGUACUUACAGAUUACUCUUCAUCAAUUUUUGAGUUUUCUUAUGCCAGCCAGAAGGUUCGAUGGACGGGUGAUGGACUCCCUCUGUUCAACUUAUACAGUUCAAUGGGCUUCGCCGAUUGACUCACAAUAAUUCUGUGGCUGAGUUUUUUAGGUUAGAUCUCAUGUCCAAGCCUAAUUAUCAAUCUGAAGUUGUGGCACCUGAAAUUGAUGCAUUAUUGACUAAGUUUGCUGAUGUGUUUUUCAAACCGACGGGACUACCUCAGGUGAGAGCCUGUGAUCACGCUAUUCAUCUAGCCUCGAAUUGUGGUCCAAUGAAUGUUAAGCCUUAUCGAUAUCCACACUUUCAGAAACGAGAAAUAAAGUGGUUGGUUUUAGAAAUGUUGUGUAACACCCCUUACCCGAGACCGUCGCCGGAAUCGAGUACGAGAUGUCAUCCAAUUUAACUUACCGAUUCGGAGCAGAAAAAUUUACUUUGAAAAUUGAUUUCACUGUUUACAGUAAUCUGCCCAAUCGCGCAGCAGUUACUAAAUUGAUUAUAACUCGAGCUACGGGACUCGAAAUUUAAUUCCGUAAAUUUUCCCUGAAACUAGACUCAUAUUUCUACUUACCAAAAUUUUUUCAGAAUUUUUGACUUAGCCAAUUAGUACAGUUUAUUCAUUAAAGUAUCCCCAGUUUCACAGCUCGACAGAUCUGACCUCUUGGCACUAAAAAUCAAUUUUCUCAUUAUAGGAUUUUCAUAUGAUAUUACCACUUGUUUCUACAGAAAAUAGACUCAAUAAGGAUUCUACACAUAUAAACUAAAACUCAUAAAUAUUUUUAUACCAUUUUUAGUGAUUUUCUAAACUCAGAACAGGGGACUUCAAAAAACCAUUCUGACCCUAUCUCACUAAAAUUCAAAUAUCUCAAAAUAUAGAAUUCCUUUGCCUACGCCGUUUCUUUCAUGUAAAAAUAGACUUGAUAAGAUUUAAUUCUAUAUAUCAUUCACUCUAUAAUUCCAUAUCUACUAUUUAUGGUGAUUUUUCACAUUCACGUCACUGCUGCUGUCAAAGAAACUGCUUCUAUGUAUUAGCUACCAUUUACACAUACAUAACACCAAAACAUAAUCUUUACUAACCAUAUCAUAUGAACAUACUCAAAAUGAUUAAGACUCUAUACAUGCCAUAGUUUAAACAUUUUGAAAAACACAUAAUACCGAGACGAUUAUGAUAGUGUGAUACGAGCUCUGACGAUCCCCACUUCGAUCAAGUUCAAAUCACUAUAAAACAAAGGAAAAGAAGAAAGGUGUAAGUUACUAAUAGCUUAGUAAGUUACAUGUAAAUAAUAGGUACUCAUUUAACAAUUAACACUUUUAACAUAUAACUAAUCAAAACAUUUCUUAGCAAUUUCAAUCACUUACACAUGCACAAUCUUACCAAUUCACUUGCAUAUAUAUUUUUACAUUUAACAUUUAUCACAUAUGCUCAAUUCUUUCAAUUGUACCUGCAUACACACUUCAUUUCAUAUUCACUUUAACCCAUCAUUAAUCCCGUUGAACACUCGGAAUAUACACAGAUACAUAGAGAUUUAGCACAUAAGUGCAACACUGAUAUGUAGCCGAAGCUACCACUGUUAUGUAGCCGAAGCUACCACUGAUCAAUAACACUGGAAAUGUCCACGGGCCUGCUCACACAAGCUGUCAGGUGUCUGCAACACAUGCUAGAUCACCCAGCACCCGGGACUCACUGUAACACUGUAACACUGAUCUCUAGUGACAUGUCACUUGUCUCCACUUCUAUUCCUAAGUUCAACCGGGAAUUUAUACUUAACACUUUAUUUUCAACACUUUAUCACUUGAAUAAUUCAUGAAUAAUUUUCGUUCCACAUUGAAUAUUAAUUCACAUAUCAAAAAUAAUUCACAAUUUAUAAAAAUAUAACUAUUAUUUACACGUAACUUACCUCGGAUGCAAAACGACUAUUUUUGUAAUUUAGUCGAUAACUUUCUCUUUUCCCCGACCACUUCCACUAUUUCUUCUUUCUUGAUCUAUAUUAACAUAAUUUAAUACAUUUUAUCAACAUUUCAUUCAAAUACAAUUCAUACACAACAUUUUGGCAAAUUUACAUUUUUCCCCCAAACUUUUCAAAAAUUCCACUUUUGUCCCUAAGCUCGUAAAAAUAAAAUUCACUAAAUUUUUAAAUUUCAAACUUCACUAAAUCAUAUUUCAUGCUCAUAACAGCCCUCAAUUUCACAAAAUCACAACUUUAUGCACACUUUACCAUCUUUCACAAUUUAGCCCUUUUUCAACAUUUUCAUCAAAAUUCAUCUAGUAAAACUUGUAAUUAACACUUCAAACAUUCAUUAUCUAACAUCACUAAUCAAUUUACAAUUAUAUCAUGAAUGGGUCAAUUUCUAAACUUUAAUUUCAUUUAAAUUAAAUGGUAGAAACAUGAAAUUCAAGCUUCAAUAAGCAUAAAAAUACGAAAAUAAUUAAAAACGGGGCAAGAAAUCACUUACAAUUGAGCUUAGGAAGUUCAAGAACCCUAGCUAUGGUGAUAUGAAUUUUUUUGGCAGCAAAUGUCUGAUUUUAAGAAGAUGAACACUUGUUUUCAUCUUUAUUUUAUCUUUUAUUCAAUUUGGACAAAAAUGCCCUUGACCCAUUACUUAGAUAUUUUUCUAGAAAUACCCUUUUGUGUCCAUAACACUAAUUCAUGGUCUAAUUGCCACAUAAACACUUCCAAUUUCAUGCAAUAAUUCAAUUAAGUCAUUUAAUCACUAAUUAGACACACUUUGCAUUUUUCUCAAUUUAGUCCUAAAAAUUCAAUUAAGCACUAAAGCAUUAAAAUUUUCUAUCCAUAUUUUCACACAAUAUUUCAAUCAAUCAGAACUAAUAAAAAUUUAUAAAAUAAAACUAUUUCACUUUGGAUUUGUGGUUACGAAACCACUAUUCCGAUUAGGCCCUAUUUCGGGCUAUCACAUGUUGGCUGAUGCUAUAAUCCAGCCAAGUACAAGUCUUUUUUCCUCGCCAGUGUUGUUAGUACGUAAGAAGGAUGGCUCGUGGCGCUUUUGUGUUGAUUACCAGAUCCUCAAUGCCGUGACUGUCAAAGAUCGAUUUCUGAUUUCGUCCAUCGAUGAGUUAUUCAAUGAACUUCAUGGGGCUAUGUAUUUCUCCAAGCUUGAUUUGUUGGCUGGAUUCCAUCAAAUUCGAGUUAGAGCCGAGGAUGAAAGCAAGACCGCUUUUAGGACUCACGACGGGCACUAUGAGUUCCUUGUCAUGCCGUUUGGGCUAACAAACUCACCGUCUACCUUUCAAAGUCUUAUGAAUUCGAUUUUCGUUUGUACCUCCACAAGUUUGUGUUGGUUUUCUUUGACGACAUUUUGAUCUAUAGUCAGGAUUGGGAAACGCAUUUGGAACAUAUCAGGGUUGUUUUUCUUCUCCUCCGUGAGUACAAGUGUAAUAGCCCGAUUUUAGGCUUAGUCGGAACAGUGGUUUCGAGACCACAAAUCCGACGAAAAAAAUGUAAUGGCUUGAAUUUUCAGAUGUGUCGGAACGGUGAUUCGAGAUCACUAAAUUCGACAAAUGGGUAGAAAAUAUUAUUAAUUUAGUAAGUAUAAGUUAAAUAUGAAGUUAGGAAAAUUUUUGAAAUGGUGAAUAGUGCACUAGAAAUAAAUAUUAAAAUAAUUAGAAUCGAAAUGAGGUAUCAAGACCUCGGGGAUUUUAAACUGAGCCAUAAAUAUUUUUAUAAAUAUUUAUGGAGUGUUAAAAAGUUAGUAUUAAAGUUUCGUUAAGAAAUUUUAAAGUUCCGAUAAUUAAUUGAACAAAAAGGACUAAAUUGUAACAAAUGCAAAAUUUUGGGAAAUGAUUAAAUAGCUUAAAUGAUAAAAGGAAGAGGGCUUAAAAAGCAAAUAGACCCAAGGUCUAUUUGGGCUGGACGGCAGAGGCAUGAAAUCAGCAAGAAAGUAAGGAGAAUUAAGGGCAAAAUUGAAAAAUUGCAAAAUUUGCUUAAUAAAGUUAGGACCCAAGUGGAAUUAUCUAGAUUUCUCUUCAUUUUUCUGAAUUCUCAUCAGCUAAAACACCAUGGAAGGGCUUCUUCAAGCUGGUUCUUCAUAUUUUUAUUACAAGUAAGUUCAAUUCUUGACUAUUUCUUGAAAUUUUUGUAUUUUUAUGACUUUUACAACUAGGCCCACUUGUUAAAUUCAUUAGUUUUUGAUUUUAUGAAAGAAGUUGAAAGUUGAUAUGAAUAUGUUCUGGAAGUAUAUGAUGAUUUAGCAUGAAAUUAGAGUUUUAAAUUGUUCAUAUGCUGAUUUUAUUGAAAGAAUUGAAUAGAAAGUGAAUGUUUGGGACCUAAUAGUAAAAGAGUUUGAAGAUAGAGUUAUAUGUGGAAAUUCUGAAUUUCAAUAGUUGUGUAACAACUUAUAAUGUCUAGUAAAGUACUAAUUGAAAAAAUUAGAUUAAUUGAGGGGUUAAUUGAGAAAGGACCGAAUUGUAUAAACUGUGAAAUUUGGGGCAAAAUGGAAAUCAACAUUUUGCACUAAAGCAGUUUUGGACAGCAGCAGUAGUGUAACUUUGAAAAAUCACCAAAAAUUGUAGAGAUUGAAUUAGAGGAUGAAUAAAAUAUGAAAUUAAAGCUUAUUGAGUCUAGUUUCUUAUAAAAGAAAUGAUGUGAGCAAUGGAAUUGUAAAUCAUGAGAUAUAACAGAUUUUGUGAGACAAGGUCAGAAUGAAUUCGGGUUCCCCUGUUCUGACUUUGGAAAAUCAUUAAAAAUUGUACAGAAAUUAUUAUGAGUUAUAGUUUAUAUGGUUAGAAUCCUUAAUGAGUCUAUUUUUAGAAGAAACAAGCUAAAAUAUCAUCCGAAUUCUGUAAAAUGAGAUAAUUAAUUUUUAGUGAAGAGUGGUCGGAACUGUCAGACAGCGAAAAAGGGGAAACUUUAAAGAAUAAAAUGUACUAUUUGGCUGAACCAAAAAUUAUGAAAAUUUUAUGGUAUGAAUAUAUGUGAGUCUAGUUUCAGGGAAAAUUAACGGAUCUUAAUUUGGAGCUCUGUAGCUCCGGAUAAAAAUAAUUUAGUGACUCUGACUCGGAUAAACAGCUUUGAAUAUACAUGUUAGUGAAUAUUGAAAUUAUGGUUAAUGUUGUUUAAGUGUGUUAUACACAUUAAGGAUGUGGAAUGGAGAGGAGGAGGAGGAAAAUUGGGAAAUAUAUGAAUGAUUCGUGUAUAAAUGGUCAUAUGUUUGAUUAUAACUCAUAAACGAUGAAAUAUGAAUGAUGCUUAUUUUUGUGCAUUAUUGGUCAUGGUUUAAGCUCAUGUGUGAAAAUAAAGUUUCAUAGUAUGUGUGUAUGGUAUAUUCAGUAUAUGAUUUGGCAUGAAAUAAUACCAUGAAUGGUUUAUGAAUUAACACAUGUUGGUAAGCCUGAUAUAUGAAUAAAUGAUCAAAUUGAGCGGAACGCCGGAUUUGAGUACUUCUGAUCAAGUGAUAAAGUGAUAAGUGAUAGCUUCAGCUACACUUAUCUGAUCAAGUGACAAGUGAAAAGUGAUAAGUGAUAGCUUCGGCUAUACUUAUCUGAUCAAGAGACAAAGUGAUAAGUGGCUACACUUAUCUGAUCAAGAAACAAAGUGAUAAGUGGCUACACUUAUCUGAUCAAGAAACAAAGUGAUAGGUGGCUACACUUAUCUGAUCAGGGACAAGUGAUAAGUGAUCAUACGUAAGACCAUAGUUAUACUAUGGCAAAGUGAAAGUGAAGUACUCAAUUUUCCGUGACCGUUCCCUAAUUUGAUUAAAGAUGGUAAGUGACAAAUGGGCCCAAAAGAAUUAAAGUAAAUGGAUAAGUGGUAGUAUAUUUAUAUCAGGACGAUGUUGUUAUUCAAACUAAAGUGAUAUUUUCAUUGCUAAAUUGAGAAUUUCAUAAAUGUGUUAUUGAAUGGUAUAAUCAAUAAACAUUGAGUUAAAUGGUAAAUACGUAUUAGUUUUGAAUUUGAUGUCAUUGAAUUGUACGUGAAUUAAAUGGGAAUUUCUAGUGAUAUGAUUUAAAUUAUGAGCAUGAGAAAUUGCGAAUUGAAUGAAAUGGAAAUGAAGCAUUAAAUUGCAUGAUUAUGUAUCGGGUCUCACAGGCCCUAAUUAUUAUGAUUAUAAUAUUUUAAGGAUAUAUUGUGAAAAGUUAUAGAAACAUGUUAAUUAUUUUUGAAAAUUUUAAUUUUGAUGAAAUUUUAUAACUCGGUUAAAUACGUUUACAAGUGUAUGUGUUUUGGUAAUGCCUCGUACCCUAUUCCGGUGUUGGAUACGGGUAAGGGGUGUUACAACAAGUUUGUAGCGAAACGUUCUAAAUGUCUAUUUGGUCAUACAAGCAUUGGAUAUUUGGGGCAUAUUAUUUCUCGGCAAGGAGUUCAAGUGGAUCUCGAUAAAAUUAAAGCCAUCCAAUCUUGGCCUAUUCCUCACAACAUCAAAGCUGUUCCUGAUUUUCUCAGUUUGGCAGGGUAUUACCGCAGGUUUAUCUGUCACUUUACUGCAAUUGUCGGUCCCUUGACUGACUUGCUGCGUACAUAUACCCUUCCAAUGUACUCUCUUACCCAUACGGCCCUUGAGCGUUUGAAGUAGCUGCUCAGCGAAGCCCCUAUUCUUGAAUUGCCUGAUUUCAGUAAACCAUUUGUUGUGGAAACAGAUACUUCAGGUACUGGAAUCGGUGCCAUCCUUUCACAAGGUAGUCACCCUAUUGCAUAUUACAGCCACCAGCUUAGCCCUCGCUUGCAACAAUCCUCCACAUAUCAAAGGGAGAUGUAUGCUAUUACGCAAGCAGUUUCCAAGUGGCGCCAAUACCUUUUGGGUAGCCGAUUUACAAUUAUUACUGAUCAUCAAUCUUUUAAGAGUCUUACCUCUCAAGUAAUUCAAACACCGAAUCAACAGAAGUGGUUAGGCAAAUUGAUUGGCUAUGACUUCGACAUCGUUUACCGUCCGGGCCAAAACAACACUGCAGCGGAUGCUGUAACACCCCUAACCUGACUCCGUCGCCGAAUCAGGGUUACGAGGCAUUACGAAACCAAGCUCACAUAAACAUAACUUUAAUAUCUAAUUCCAAAUGCAAGUCCAAUUCAUGAACAUAUAUAAUCAAAUUCAAGCAUGGAGACUAAACUCUUUUCACAUUGCUAUUUACACAAUAGGAUUCAAAACUAACCAAAACAUUAUCAAGCCUAUACAUGCCAUAAGAUCGAGUUCAAAUAUUUAACAAAAUACCAAAAGAAGUCGAUAGUGUGAUGGACUGUGCUGAUGAUCCCCGAGCUCGUAACGCGUCUCCAAAUCUAUAAAAACGAAUGAACGAAAGCAAACGAAGUAAGCUUUUAUAGCUUAGUAAGUCUCCAGCAUAACUAAAUGUAUAAUUAUAAACACAUAAUUAUUAUAACCUUUUUAAUCUAUUCUACUGAAAUUUCAACUAACACAACCAACUAACAUUCAUACAUUAUUCUACUCAGACCAUUUCAUUUAUAGUCAGAUAUGUAUACCUGUCGGAUGAAUUCAGUUUAAUAUAUAUAUUAUACAAAACAACAUUACAAUUGAAUGUAUACCACCGAGCAUAUAUAUACAUAUUAUAUACAUAUCAAACCGAUUGUAUAUAUACACUCAUGGUAAGUUCUAAAUCAAUUCAAAUCUAACACAAAUAUAUGUACAUCAAUCACAUCUUAUAUUUGUUUGUAUAUAAAUAUACUCAUUAUGAAUUUAUACCUGAAUACCUAGGUAACACAUACAUUCGAAAUACACACACAUAUAUAUAUAUAUAUCUCAAAUGCAUACAUGAUUAAUUAUCAAACACAUAGGCUCAACAUAUAUAUGUUUAACUACCACAUAUUACCAUAUGCAUUUAUAAAUUCAGCAAUCACAUAUAUCUAAUGUACAUAUGUAUUCAUCGAUUUCAUAUAAUCACAAAUCAUAGAUAUAUCCAUUGCAUAUUCUAACACAAUUUAAACAGAUUCACCGGCAUUUUGCCUGCUAGGCUUAAAGCCUGAUUCAGUACACCGGCACUUAGCCUGCUAGACAUAUAGUCUGAAAUGUAUCACCGGCAUUAAGCCUGCUAGACUUAAAGUCUGAAAUAUAUCACCGGUAUUAAGCCUGUUAGACUUAAAGUCUGAAAUGUAUCACCGGCAUUAAGCCUGCUAGACUUAAAGUCUGAAAUAUAUCACCGGCAUUAAGCCUGCUAGACUUAAAGUCUGAAAUAUAUCACCGGCAUUAAGCCUGCUAGACUUAAAGUCUGAAAUGUAUCACCGGCAUUAAGCCUGCUAGACUUAAAGUCUGAAUUACUUCACCGGCAUUAAGCCUGCUAGACGUAACGUCCGUAUUACAUUAAAUCACUUUAUAAUAAUUCAAACUAACAAUUUCAUAUCUUCACUACCAUUCAAAAACUUUUACGUGAAUAUACAUACAAAAUCGAAACUUUCACAUACAUAUAUAAUUCCAUACCAAAUUUCGAUUCAAGAAUUUAUACAUGUGCAUUUAUACAUAUUCGAAUCUACCAUAUGAAUGUAUAAUUUCAUACUCAAUUUCAAAACAAAAACUUGUACAUAUAUAAAUGCACAAUCAAUCCUCGCAUACUUAUAUAAUGACAUAACUAAAUUCAAUACACAACACAUACAUGUAUAUUUGCAUGCUUAUUCGACUUUAUAUAUAUAUAUACAUAAAUCCUCGCAUACUUAUAUAAUGACAUAACUAAAUUCAAUACACAACACAUAUAUAAUCAUUCAAACCAUAUAUAUAUAUAUACCUAUAUCUUAUACAUACCUUUGAUUAAUCCAAUAAUUUAUACAAGAUCAUACUUGUAUAUUCGAACAUGUUAUAUACAAUAUCUAUAGUCCAAAGUUUAUUCAACUAUUAUACUUUAAAUUAUAGCUCAAUCAUAAGAUAAAAUUAGUAUGCAUGUAUAAAUAUUAACUUAAUAACUUUUAGUUGCUAAUAGACUUACCUCGGAUAUCAGCAAACACGAUCGACUAUUCGAUUACCUUCGAUUUCCCCCGAUCCAAAUUCGUUUUCUUCGUUCCUUGAUCUUAAUCAAGCUUUAAAAUGGCCGAAUAAUACUUGACUUCCUUUCUUUUUUUCUUUUGCAUGAAUUCGGCUAAGUUAAGAUGAAAACAUUCAUCUUUUCAUCAAUUAUUUUAAUUUUAAUGUUUAAUUUAACAUUUGACUAAAUUAACCUUAUUAUAAUAAAUUUUUAUAACAUAUAUAUUAAGGUCAAUUAUGUCAUAUAUCACCCACUAUCUACUUUAUGGUCUUAUUGCAUCAUAAAUCCUUCCAUUUAAAAAGACAACAACAAUUAGGUGCUUUUAUAAUUAACCCCUAAAUUUUCAUUUUUCGCGAUUUAAUCCUUUUGUUUAAUCGGACACUCAAACAACAAAAUUAAAACACGAAAAUUUCACACAAUCAAAUGCACACAAAAUAAACACACAAAAUAAUAUUAAAAUAUUUUUUUGUCUCGGACUUGUGGUCCCGAAACCACUAUGUCCGAUUAGGGUCAAACCGGGUUGUUACAACUCUCCCCCUUAGGGAUUUUCGUCCUCGAAAAUCUUACCGGUGAAUAGGUUUGGAUAACGCUCUUUCAUUGUAUCUUCUGACUCCCAAGUUGCUUCUUCAACUCCAUGUUUAUGCCACAAUACUUUAACUAACGAAAUUUUCUUAUUUCGUAAUUCCUUGAUCUCACGAGCCAGAAUGCUAAUCGGUUCUUCUUCAUAUGACAUAUCAGGGUUAAUUUCAAUCUCCGUCGGACAAAUCACAUGUGAAGGAUCAGAUCGGUAUCUACGGAGCAUCGAAACAUGAAAUACAUUGUGAAUCUUUUCUAACUCAGGUGGUAACAUCAAUCUAUAAGCAACCGGUCCGACACGUUCUAUAAUCUCAUACGGUCCAAUGAAUCUUGGACUCAAUUUGCCUUUACGACCGAAUCUGAGUACUUUCUUCCACGGUGAGACUUUCAAAAACACUUUAUUGCCGAUCUGAAAUUCUAUAUCUUUUCUUCUCAAAUCCGCAUAAGAUUUCUGACGAUCUGAUGCUGAUUUCAGGCUGUCCCGAAUCACUUUCACUUUCUAUUCGGUCUCUUUAAUCAAAUCAACCCCGUGUAUCCUAUUUUCACUGAGCUCGGUCCAAUACAGUGGUGUACGACAUUUACGACCGUACAAAGCCUCAUAAGGUGCCAUUUUAAUACUAGAUUGAAAGCUGUUAUUAUAAGCAAAUUCAAUCAAAGGUAAAUAUCGUUCCCACGUACCUUCAAACUCGAGAAUGCAACAUCUCAACAUGUCCUCAAGUAUCUGUAUAAUUCGCUCCGAUUGACCAUCUGUUUGCGGAUGGAAAGCUGUGCUAAAAUGUAGUUUCGUACCUAAAGCAUCUUGUAAUUUCUUCCAAAACCGCGAUGUAAAUCUCGGGUCUCUGUCCGAAAUAAUAGAAAUAGGCACUCCGUGCAAUUUUACAAUCUGAGAAAUGUACAAUUCAGCAAGUUUAUCAAGCGAAUAAUCAAUACGAACCGGAAUAAAGUGAGCCGAUUUUGUCAAUCUAUCAACAACAACCCAAAUUGCAUCUUUCUUGCUGGGUGUUAAUGGUAAACCGGAUACAAAAUCCAUCGUAACUCUGUCCCAUUUCCAUUCAGGUAUCAUGAUCGGCUGCAGCAAUCCAGAAGGUACCUGAUGCUCGGCUUUUACUUGCUGACAUAUUAAACAUUUCGAAACAAAGUCAGAAAUGUCUCGUUUCAUUCCAUGCCACCAAUAGUGUUGUUUCAGAUCAUUAUACAUUUUCGUGCUACCCGGAUGAACAGAAAAUCGACUAUUAUGGGCUUCAUUCAAAAUCAUCUGAAUUAACUCUGGAUUUUUCGGAACACAUAAUCGGUUUCUGAAUCUCAAACAAUCCUCAGUAUCAACUAGAAACUCUGAAUCAACAUUUAAGUCACACUGAGUUCGUUUUGCAAUUAAAUCAUCAUCGGCUUUUUGAGCUUCACAAAUCUGUUGAACAAAUAACGGUUUUGCUUUCAACUCAGCUACUAUCGCACCAUCAUCAGACAUAACCAUAUGUGCAUUCAUUGCACGCAAAGCAAACAGUGAUUUUCGACUUAGGGCAUCAGCAACAACAUUAGCCUUUCCCGGAUGAUAGUCAAUCACGAGCUCGUAAUCUUUCAACAAUUCUAACCAUCGACGCUGUCUCAAAUUCAGAUCUUUCUGAGUCAUCAAAUAUUUCAAGCUUUUAUGAUCGGAAUAAACAUGACAUCUUUCGCCAAACAGAUAGUGACGCCAUAUUUUUAACGCAAAUACAAUAGCGGCCAAUUCCAGAUCAUGCGUCGGAUAGUUCUUUUCAUGCGGCUUUAACUGUCUCGAGGCAUAGGCUACAACUUUGCCUUCCUGCAUCAAUACACAGCCCAAACCAUUUAAAGAUGCAUCACUAUAGAUAACAAACUCUUUACCCGAUUCGGGUUGAACUAGGACUGGAGCUUUGGUUAAAAGAGCUUUCAACUGAUCGAAACUUUUCUGGCACUUUUCUGACCACUCAAACUUAACGUCUUUUUGUAGUAGCCUUGUCAUCGGGGUCGCAAUCAUAGAGAACCCUUUCACAAAACGUCUAUAAUAGCCAGCGAGCCCCAGAAAGCUUCGAACUUCCGAAACAUUCCUCGGAGGUUUCCAAUCAAGUAUAGCUGAAAUUUUAUUCGGAUCAACCCAAAUACCCGAUGCUGAUACAACAUGGCCCAGAAAACUGACUUCACGUAACCAGAACUCACAUUUACUAAACUUUGCAUACAACUGCUUAUCUCGCAAAGUUUGUAACACAAGUCUCAGAUGUUCAGCAUGCUCAUUUUCGUCUCGAGAGUAGAUCAAAAUGUCAUCAAUAAAUACUACCACAAACCGAUCCAGAUACUUCCUAAAGAUCCGAUUCAUCAAAUCCAUGAAAAUAGCAGGUGCAUUAGUAAGUCCGAAAGGCAUAACAAGAAACUCAUAAUGUCCGUACCUCGUUCGGAAAGCAGUCUUUGGCACAUCAGAGUCUUUAACUCGCAACUGAUAGUAGCCUGAUCUCAGAUCUAUCUUUGAAAACACAGUAGCCCCUUUCAACUGAUCGAACAAAUCAUCAAUCCGUGGUAACGGAUACUUAUUCUUUAUAGUCACUUUAUUGAGUUGCCGGUAAUCAAUGCACAUUCUCAUCGUUCCGUCUUUCUUUCUCACAAAUAGAACUGGUGCACCCCAAGGAGAGAAACUCGGUCGUGCAAAACCUUUAUCAGUCAGCUCUUGCAACUGUACUUUCAAUUCUUUUAAUUCGGUCGGUGCCAUACGGUACGGAGCUAUCGAUAUGGGAGUCGUCCCUGGUACUAACUCAAUACCAAACUCUACCUCUCGAAUAGGUGGCAAACCCGGUAAUUCUUCGGGAAACACGUCUGAAUACUCACACACUACUGGUACAGAUUCAAUCUUCUUUUCGGUCACUUUACUAUCAAGAACAAAUGCAAGGUAAGCUUCACAACCCCUUCUCACAUACUUCUGAGCCGACAUCGAGGAUAUUAUUGCUGAUAAACCAUUCAGAUCAUUAGAUUCGAUCCGAAUAAUCUCAUCAUUCUGACACCGUAGAUCAAUAGUUUUCCGUUUGCAGUUUACAAUAGCAUCAUGCAGAGUUAACCAAUCCAUACCCAGAAUUAUAUCGAACUCGUCGAAUGGUAACAACAUCAAAUCAGCUGGAAAACAUAAAUCUCGAAUCAUCAACGGACAAUUCUUGCACACUUUGUCAACCAAAACACACAGGCCCAGGGGGUUCGAUACUUUAAUUACAAACUCAGUAGACUCAACAGGCAAAGUCUUACUGAAUACUAAAGUCUCACACACAUAAGAAUGAGUCGAACCAGGAUCAAUCAAUGCAAUAACAUUAGUAUCAUAAAGAGUGAAAGUACCAGUAAUAACAUCUGGAGAAGAAGCCUCCUCUCGAGCACGGAUGGCAUAAGCUCUGGCAGGUGCACGGGCCUCAGAUCGAAUUGCUGUGUCCCUGGUUCCUCUCUGACUACCACUUACAUUACUCAAUUGUCUCGGUGGUCUACCUCGGACUGGCACAUUACUCGGUCUGGUAUCCUGCACAGUGUUUUGCUCAGCUACCAUCGGACACUCUCGAAUGAAAUGAUCUUUUGAACCACACUUGAAGCAAGACCGAUCAUGGAAUCUGCAAUCCCCAGGAUGCCAUUUCCCACAAUACUUGCACUCUGAUCUAUUUUGUCGAACACUACCAACGCUAGCAACUGAAGUAGCUCGUGAACUCACAGGGGGUCGAUCUCGAUCAUACUUAGGAAACCCUGCAGUAGCUUUAGAUUGGCUAUGAUCCGCUCUGAAUUUCCUUGAGGUCGACUGAAAUGAUUUACUGAAUGAUCUUUUACGAGAAUCUCGAGCUUCAUAGUCAGCUUUCCUCUUCUCUUUCCCGAGCUCCUCAGCUUUACAAGCUCGUUCAACAAGUACUACGAACUCUUUUAUCUCAAGUAUACCAACUAACAGUUUAAUAUCUUCAUUCAGCCCAUCUUCAAAUCUUCUACACAUGAUAGCUUCAGUUGAAACACACUCUCGAGCAUAUCUACUAAGUCUCACAAAUUUCCGUUCAUAUUCUGUCACUGUCAUACGACCCUGUUUCAGUUCAAGAAAUUCCUUACGUUUCUGAUCAAUAAAUCUCUGGCUGAUAUAUUUCUUACGAAACUCAGUCUGAAAGAAUUCCCAGGUCACUCGCUCUUUCGGAACCACCGAUACUAGUGUAUUCCACCAGUGAUAUGCAGUGUCCCGUAGCAAGGAUAUGGCACAUUUCAAGCACUCAUCAGGGGUGCAAGACAACUCAUCAAACACUCGAAUAGUAUUAUCAAGCCAGAAUUCAGCUCGCUCAGCAUCAUCAUCAUCAGUAGCUCUGAACUCUUCGGCCCCGUGUUUUCGAAUUUUGUCAACCGGAGGCUUAAGUAAUCUCAUCGGAUCACUUACUUGGGGUAUAACAGGAAUCGAAGAUGGAUUAGUCGGGGGUGGAGGUUGUUGUGUAACCGGAUUAGUUCGGACAUAAUGAGUAAACCAGUCAUUCAUCAUUUGGUAGAAGGCUUGUUUAGCCUCUCCCUCCUUGUUACUCGAGAUUGGUCGAGAAUCUACUGGCUCUGUCCCUUGCGCGGGAGCAGGCGCUAUACUCUCAACAUCAUCAGCUACGGCUCGUUCGGGAUCCAUUACUAUACGAAAACACAUUUUUAGACGUCAGCAGUCAUCACACUAUCUCGAUAUAAAAAUAUGGCAUGUAUAGCUAGACUCAUACACGCUACGCUAGUUUCGAGAAUCGACUAAACCAUAGCUCUGAUACCAAUAAAAUGUAACACCCUUAACCUGACUCCGUCGCCGAAUCAGGGUUACGAGGCAUUACGAAACCAAGCUCACAUAAACAUAACUUUAAUAUCUAAUUCCAAAUGCAAGUCCAAUUCAUGAACAUAUAUAAUCAAAUUCAAGCAUGGAGACUAAACUCUUUUCACAUUGCUAUUUACACAAUAGGAUUCAAAACUAACCAAAACAUUAUCAAGCCUAUACAUGCCAUAAGAUCGAGUUCAAAUAUUUAACAAAAUACCAAAAGAAGUCGAUAGUGUGAUGGACUGUGCUGAUGAUCCCCGAGCUCGUAACGCGUCUCCAAAUCUAUAAAAACGAAUGAACGAAAGCAAACGAAGUAAGCUUUUAUAGCUUAGUAAGUCUCCAGCAUAACUAAAUGUAUAAUUAUAAACACAUAAUUAUUAUAACCUUUUUAAUCUAUUCUACUGAAAUUUCAACUAACACAACCAACUAACAUUCAUACAUUAUUCUACUCAGACCAUUUCAUUUAUAGUCAGAUAUGUAUACCUGUCGGAUGAAUUCAGUUUAAUAUAUAUAUUAUACAAAACAACAUUACAAUUGAAUGUAUACCACCGAGCAUAUAUAUAUACAUAUUAUAUACAUAUCAAACCGAUUGUAUAUAUACACUCAUGGUAAGUUCUAAAUCAAUUCAAAUCUAACACAAAUAUAUGUACAUCAAUCACAUCUUAUAUUUGUUUGUAUAUAAAUAUACUCAUUAUGAAUUUAUACCUGAAUACCUAGGUAACACAUACAUUCGAAAUACACACAUAUAUAUAUAUAUAUAUAUCUCAAAUGCAUACAUGAUUAAUUAUCAAACACAUAGGCUCAACAUAUAUAUGUUUAACUACCACAUAUUACCAUAUGCAUUUAUAAAUUCAGCAAUCACAUAUAUCUAAUGUACAUAUGUAUUCAUCGAUUUCAUAUAAUCACAAAUCAUAGAUAUAUCCAUAGCAUAUUCUAACACAAUUUAAACAGAUUCACCGGCAUUUUGCCUGCUAGGCUUAAAGCCUGAUUCAGUACACCGACACUUAGCCUGCUAGACAUAUAGUCUGAAAUGUAUCACCGGCAUUAAGCCUGCUAGACUUAAAGUCUGAAAUAUAUCACCGGCAUUAAGCCUGUUAGACUUAAAGUCUGAAAUGUAUCACCGGCAUUAAGCCUGCUAGACUUAAAGUCUGAAAUAUAUCACCGGCAUUAAGCCUGCUAGACUUAAAGUCUGAAAUAUAUCACCGGCAUUAAGCCUGCUAGACUUAAAGUCUGAAAUGUAUCACCGGCAUUAAGCCUGCUAGACUUAAAGUCUGAAUUACUUCACCGGCAUUAAGCCUGCUAGACGUAACGUCCGUAUUACAUUAAAUCACUUUAUAAUAAUUCAAACUAACAAUUUCAUAUCUUCACUACCAUUCAAAAAAUUUUACGUGAAUAUACAUACAAAAUCGAAACUUUCACAUACAUAUAUAAUUCCAUACCAAAUUUCGAUUCAAGAAUUUAUACAUGUGCAUUUAUACAUAUUCGAAUCUACCAUAUGAAUGUAUAAUUUCAUACUCAAUUUCAAAACAAAAACUUGUACAUAUAUAAAUGCACAAUCAAUCCUCGCAUACUUAUAUAAUGACAUAACUAAAUUCAAUACACAACACAUACAUGUAUAUUUGCAUGCUUAUUCGACUUUAUAUAUAUAUACAUAAAUCCUCGCAUACUUAUAUAAUGACAUAACUAAAUUCAAUACACAACACAUAUAUAAUCAUUCAAACCAUAUAUAUAUAUAUAUACCUAUAUCUUAUACAUACCUUUGAUUAAUCCAAUAAUUUAUACAAGAUCAUACUUGUAUAUUCGAACAUGUUAUAUACAAUAUCUAUAGUCCAAAGUUUAUUCAACUAUUAUACUUUAAAUUAUAGCUCAAUCAUAAGAUAAAAUUAGUAUGCAUGUAUAAAUAUUAACUUAAUAACUUUUAGUUGCUAAUAGACUUACCUCGGAUAUCAGCAAACACGAUCGACUAUUCGAUUACCUUCGAUUUCCCCCGAUCCAAAUUCGUUUUCUUCGUUCCUUGAUCUUAAUCAAGCUUUAAAAUGGCCGAAUAAUACUUGACUUCCUUUCUUUUUUUCUUUUGCAUGAAUUCGGCUAAGUUAAGAUGAAAACAUUCAUCUUUUCAUCAAUUAUUUUAAUUUUAAUGUUUAAUUUAACAUUUGACUAAAUUAACCUUAUUAUAAUAAAUUUUUAUAACAUAUAUAUUAAGGUCAAUUAUGUCAUAUAUCACCCACUAUCUACUUUAUGGUCUUAUUGCAUCAUAAAUCCUUCCAUUUAAAAAGACAACAACAAUUAGGUGCUUUUAUAAUUAACCCCUAAAUUUUCAUUUUUCGCGAUUUAAUCCUUUUGUUUAAUCGGACACUCAAACAACAAAAUUAAAACACGAAAAUUUCACACAAUCAAAUGCACACAAAAUAAACACACAAAAUAAUAUUAAAAUAUUUUUUUGUCUCGGACUUGUGGUCCCGAAACCACUAUGUCCGAUUAGGGUCAAACCGGGUUGUUACAGAUGCCUAGUCUCGGGUUCCUGCUGCUCAAUUCUUGGCCCUUUCUCAUGUUUAGUUCUCUAUCGGUGAUCAGCUCCGAGAGGCCAAUGCUGUUCACACUGAGCUGCUUGCUUUGCAGCAACGUUUAGCCACUGAUCCAACCUCUUUACCUGGAUUUUUGUUCAAAGACAAGCUAUUGUACUUUAACUAUCGGUUGGUGCUACCUUUUGAUUCUCCACUCCGCACUUCUCUGUUAACUAAGUUCCAUUCGUCCCCUAUUGGUGGCCACUCAGGCAUCACUUGCACGUUUCAUCGCCUUACUACAAAUUUUUAUUGGAAACAUAUGCGUCGAGAUGUCACCCAAUUCGUCCGCUCUUGCCAAAUUUGUCAACAAAUAAAGUCUGCCACAAUUUCUCCAGCCGACCUCCUUCAACCUCUCCCGAUCCUGAGUUUGGUCUUUAAAAAUGUUUCCAUAGAUUUUAUCAUCGGGCUACCACCUUCAAAGGGAAAAACAGUGGUUAUGGUUGUCGUUGAUCGACUUUCGAAGUAUGGGCAUUUUGUGGGUUUACCAACUCAUUUUUCUAGUCAAAUGGUUGCUUCUGCCUUUGUGCAAGAAGUAAUGCGGCUACACGGCAUCCCUACGAAAAUUGUCUCGGACCGUGACCCUCGUUUCUUCAGUAGCUUUUGGAAAGAAGUACAUCGUCUCCAAGGCACGACACUGCGUAUAAGCACCGCAUACCAUCCAUAAUCCGAUGGCCAAACGGAGGCCUUCAACCGAUGCUUAGAUAUGUAUUUGCGUUGCUAUGCCUCGAACCACCCUUCCUCUUGGAUGUUAUUCUUACCUUGGGCCGAAUAUUGGUACAACACAUCGUACCAAACGGCUGCGCAAAUGACACCUUUUGAAGUGUUGUAUGGUUGCCCCCACCUACAGUGGCACGGUAUGUUAAGGAUGACAGCGGCCACCCUCUUGUUUAUGCUCAGUUACUCGAACGAGACCUUGUUUUACAACAGCUCAAAAUAAAUCUAACCCAAGCUUAGGCUCGGAUGAAGUUUUAUGCUGAUCAACAUUGCCGAGAUAUCAGUUUCAAUGUUGGGGACUAGUUAUACGUUAAGUUGCAACCUUAUCAUCAGUCUUCUAUACGGUUGCAGCGCCAUUCAAAGCUCGUUCGCUGAUAUUUUGGUCUAUAUCAAGUCCUCAAACGAGUUGGUCCAGUAGCAUACGAGUUCGAUCUGCCCUCCACGGCUCGUAUCCAUCUCGUAUUUCACGUUUCUAUGCUCAAGAAAUGCCUCGGACACCCUGACCAGCAAGUCACUCAUUUGGACUUGGUCGACUCCACCAGCUUUAUUAAUUUGCACCUUGUUGCAGUCUUAGAUCAUAGGCAAGUGCAACGAGGGUCUGCCACCGUGAACUAGUGCUUAAUCCAAUGUAAUGGUCUGACCAUUGACGAUGCUACUUGGGAAGAUAAAGAGAAGUUGCACCAGUUUUAUCUUGCUUUCAACCUUGAGGAUAAGGUUUAUCUCGAUGAGGUGGGUACUGUUAUGAACCCAAAUGCUGUUGAGGGCUCUGCUUGGGAAUAUGCAACCCAAAGGACCCAAGAGGUGAGAAGAAGCUCUCGCAUGAGGCACUUGCCUAAGCAAUAUAAUGACUUCAUAACAGUAUGACAUGAGGGCAAAUGAUGGGCGAAUAGAGAAUAUUGGUGCACACACUCGGAGGAAGAUUUUCUACAAAAUGAUUGCCUUGGCAGGGAAUGAGGGAUUAUUGUUUUUCUGUUAUGAAAAUCGUUGUUCUUUCUCUCAUCUCAACCUCUUUUCUCUGAGCUUCUUCAUAUUUUUCCUUUUUCUUUUAAAAGAACUUGUAUGUUCCCUUCAUUAAAUGCCGAAUCUACUCUAUUUUUACCUUCAGAACUGUCAUUUGAGAAUUUAUAAUUCCGCUGCUAUAAUCCUCCUCAACCACAUCUUCAUUUCCUAGAGCUUGUACCGGCUUUUCCUCUUCGUCGACUAUAUUGAGAUUUGUCAUUUCUUCUUCCAUCAUUCCACACAGCAAAACCUCCACGCCCCCACUAAACUCUAGAAAAAACUUAACUAGUAGAAACACCACAUAAACGUGCUAUCAAGCAGACAGAGAGAACAACCAGACGUGCUACAAGGCAGGCUCUUAACAAUCUUAUAAUACUUGAAUCAUAUAAAAAUUUAAAUACAUGUAUUCAUUUGCAACGUAGGUCAAGAAUAGUGUAUAAAACAGUAGUGUCUGUGGGCUGUCCAAAGUCCGAAAAAUGGACAAUUAAGUGGAAAUGAAGCCCAAACUAAUCGAAACAUUAUUUACUUACCAAUACGCCCACUCAAAGAGCCCUUGCAUUGCAUGGCUGAAUUUUUCAUAAAAGUCAUGCCCAUUUCCGCCGUCUCAAUGAAACAAACUUUUGUUCACUUCCACUUUCUUUAUUCCUUCGUUAUUCAAUGAAAUCAUAAUUAAUUUCUUUUUCAGUAAAAAAGAAAAAUCUUAGAAGAUAAACUAAUUGGUUCAAUCAAUAUUUGAGAUGGCAGUCUCAGUGGAGCUCAUUUCAGAUUUCGCUUUACAAAUGGUCCUACCUAACUCCCAGAUUCCUAAUAAAAUGAAUCCAGUUCCAUUCAUCUCCCACUAUUAAUUAAUGUUUCAGGGACGACCAGACUUGUAACAGGGUUUGCUCACUUAUUUACGUUGACCAAACACUUUAAUCUCCUGACUUUCCUAUAACACACAUGUUCUACAAUGGUUCUGUGUCUCUCGACAUGUUUACACAACAAUAUUUCCAGGACCCGAACCUUCCCCGAAAGGCCCUCCGCAUUGCAAUUUUUCCAACCCAAAGACUUUUCAUCAAAUGUACCAGGGAAUUAUGGGUGCUGUUUUUUCUAAUUCAAACCAACCUCACACCGCGUGUUGUGUAACCUAUUUUCCAUCAACUUCUUUGUUUAGGGUUGGAAGAUUCAGUUCAGAUUCUUCCUUACUAAAUAAAACCCUAGUUUGUUCGUCAAAAUAAGACGCUUCACUUUCAAGCAUGGGGAAUUAUUUUUUAUUUUUUAGUUAAGUUUUCGUUAAAUUUCAACUAAUUUAAUCAUUAAAUAAUUAUUAGAAUAAGGUGGCGCAGUCGUGGGAUUUUAAAGGAGUUGAUUGGUUAAACAUUAUAGCAUGUACCAACCAGCUGAUUUGAUUGUUCUUCCAGCAAUUUAUUAAUGCCGAUUGGUUAGCGUGAAAGGCCAAUUAUGUUUAUUUUUUGCAGAAUUGAUGAUGUUGAUGGUGACGAUGACGAUGACGGUGACGGUAAAUAAAUAUGACCGCAACUGCAAGAAAUUGACUGAUAAUAAUAAUAAAUUUGAAAGGUAUUCGAUGGGAUUUUAAUUUAUAGUCUCUUGAAUUCUAGGGUUUUUUUUUUUACUAAAAUAAUUUGAAUUCUGAAUUAUUUAUCGAGGUGAAAGAGAUUUUCAGUCUUGUAUUAUUUAAGUCAAUAAUUUAUUUUUUAAUAAUAUUCAGGUAAAAAAGCUUGAAUUAUGAAAAUGUUUAGUUUUUUUAUUAAAAUUUAAAAACAAUAAUUACGUAAAAAAAAAAGGGAUGUCCUUGUGUGAGUCUCCCACUGCCCUUGAUCUUACUUCCCUUUUUAACUUUUACAGUUUAACUUCUUUUUAAUUAGAGUUAUAAAAUAGGAAAAGUCUACAAUUUGCAGUAAAAAAACAAGUGAGCUUUGCUAGAAACUAAAAUAAAAAUGCUUAUAAUAAUAGUGCAGUAAGUAAAAAGAGGCUUUAGGUUUACAUGUUGACCAUACACAUCUGCGUUGAAAUCGAAGAUUCCAUUUCUUAAUGAUGCAAAUUGCAAAGAUUAAUACUGCUUCAGAACCAAUCAAUUCUCUGUUUAGAUUUUACUUGCCCUUUUUGACUGCUCUGGGUAAAGUCAUUAAUACCUAAAUUCCCGGCUUCCACUGCUACCUUCCUUUCUUAGCCUCCCCGACCAACAAUUAUUCAAUUAAAAUUUUUUAUACAAAGUUUAAAAUUAUUUAUUAUUUUUUUAAUUUUUAAUUAGAAAAAUAAAAAAUUUUAAUGCCUCUGUACCCAUCAAUUAAGUUAAAAUUCAAUUAAUUUGUAAAUUACAAAAUAAAAUAAAUCCAUAAAUUUAAUACGUCUAAGUUUCUAUUUUUGGGAAAUUUUAUCACUUUUUUGAAUUUUUAAACAAUAUUUUAAUUUUUUUAAUUUUUUCCAAAACCUUGGAGGUUUAAUUAACUUAUUGACAUUUAUAUAAUUUCCAAAAUCAAUCUUUUUUUGUUAACAAUAAAUAAUUAUUUGUAGUUUUAAUGGAUGCUGUAUUGAAUAAAAGACAUUUAGGGCAUGCUCCCGUAAUCGGGAGGCGAAUAAAUGUUACACGGUCGUUGAUGCUUCCAUUAUGUAGAAUGACAACACAAUAAUCGGGUAUUACACUACCGGACUUCGCUAGACCACCUCUACCACAAUAAAUAUGAAUUAUAGUAAAGCAAAAUCAAAAUUUAUCUAUAUUUAAGAUAUAAACUUAUUUUUUUUACAACUGAAUCUCAUAUCAUGAUAAUGAAAAACUUAAUUAUUAUUUGUUGAGACAAAUGUGGAACCUUAAUUAUUAUAACUUGAAAAUUUUAACAUUUUAUAUAUUACUGUUUUAAUCCUUUUCCUAUAUUUAUAUAGUUAACUUCAAUUCUCAAUAUAGUAUAGUUAAAGAAAAAAUUGAUAAAUGUGAUUUUAAAUAAUAUAAAAUAUUUAGGGAAUAUUGUUGCAACUGUAGGAGUUGACUCGUUUGUUGCUGCGGUGGGAGGAAUGGCCAGGAACAAUGGGGGAUGUUGGUUCUAGGGGUUCUCCCAUAAGUUAGGGAUUUGUCCCGUGCUGGAAGUUGAGUUAUGGGGGGCUUUUGAGGGAGUUAAACUAGCAUGGGAGAAGGGAAUUAAGAAAAUUGUCUUGGAGAUAGGCUGUAUAGAAACAAUUAACCUAUUGAGUGGUCAGACUCGAGAUCAAAACUUGUUAGGGGGAAGAGUGAGGGAUUUAUUGAAGUAGAUGGAAGAGUUUCGUGUGAUACAUAUAUCAAUAUAGAAGAACAAUAUAGCGGUUGGUAUGGUCAAACUUGCCAUGAGAAUGAAUGUGAAACGAAAAAUCUUUGAUGAAUAUUGUUGGACGGUGCAUGACAUUGUCAUAGUGGUAACUGAGGCUUUCAAUCAAAUGAUAAGAUAAAAAGAACAAAUUUAUGUUUAUACCAAAAAAAAUAAAUAAAAAUAUUUAAUUCCAUUCAAAUAAAUUAAAUAUGUAACCAGCCCAAUAAUAUAAUAAAUAAUAUUACAUUAUAAUAUUAACAAGCCAAAAAAAAUGCACCGAAUCAAGUUGAUUGGUGCAACGUAUCCUGAUGGAUUUCAUCAUCGGUCUUAUUCCAAAAACCAUGCGUGUAAUUUCUUAAUUAUUUCCCAAAAGCUUCUCCCACGUAAUUGCUGCGUGGAUUACCGUUGUGGGUUGAAGAUGGUAAUAUGGGUGGGCCCACGGUCAAAUUGCGACGUGGGACCACAUGUUUGGCCCAAAUUAAAACCACGACCAACGCCCUCCCCCAGCAGUGAUUGAAAGUGACGGCACGCUGACAACAUGUCCAGCACAUCCGUGCCCAGGGCCCGCUCUCCAACGCGGCCACGUCAGACACAAGUCGAUCACAGGUGUCCACACGCGUAUUGGCUGCAAAGUCUUCCACCACGUGUCCCCCCGGCGUUCCGUCAAGAAUCAAAGAUCCCCUGUGGGCCCCCUCUUUUUCCUUUUCUUUCGCCCCAAAACUCAAAACCACCUCCAUUGUUACUUACCAAACUCGCAUUAUAUAAUACCAAAUACAUCAACAAAACCAGCUUCUAAACUAAAACCUCGACUAUAAUUACGCGCUUCUCACCCCUUAUUUUCCCAUCUACCCGCUCUUCUCAUUUUACAUUUCCAAACAACAAAAGUGGGGAAACACAAACCAGUUACAAGGUAUUUUCUCGUCUGCUUUUCCAUUUUUGGUUCCUAAUUCUGCCAACUCAUCGCUCAGAGUUUUGCUUUUAAUUGCACUCCCUCGAACUCCGAACCUAACCGAAGCUCUAUAAAUACCCAAACGGCCAUAACGCAUCUCUUUUUCUUUUAAAUUCUUUUGAUCUCUUAUCUGAGUUAAACAUCGAUUCGGUAUUAUACGAUUUUUUUUUAGUUUGAUUCUCCUUCUCUGCGAUUCCUUCUCCUGUUCAGGUGAUUAUAAUCUGACAUUUUCUUUGUUUCGUUUUGGCCGUCGAGAAGAUAGACUAAGGCAGUGGUUUACUUCAUUACGGCGUCGCAAAUUUAUUCUUUUGUUUGUACAUUAUAAUAUCAUCACGGCUUUUCUUUCGUUCUUGAACAAGUAAAAUGGUGCAUUUGUAGAUUAGUUUUCUUUCUUUCUUUCUUUCUUUCUUUCUUUCCAAGUUUUCUCUUUUUGCUCCUUUUGCCCUCAAAGCUUCCUGCAUUUCUCGAGCGGCCUUUCUGAACGCGUUUUCUUUUUCGUUGUCGAGUUUUUUAAAUUAGGUGUGGUUUUGACUUUUUUUCUUUUUUUUUUGCCUCUCAGAAAGCUGUUUUGAUUUUGUUAAAAAUUAGCGUACCGUUGACUGACUUUUUGUUCGCUGCUCAGUUUCCGCUUCUUAAUCUGACGAGUUUUAAAAUCUCUGCUUUCCAGAGUAUUUCUUCAAUGCCGUUGUCUAAUGGUAACCAAAGGAAAAAGAUUGUUUCCAAUUUAAAGAUUUUAUGUGCAUUCCUUACAUUUUCAAAUUAAAUUCUUUUUCUUUGUUUUUUGAAUUGACUUGGUUUGUGCUCUGUUUUCUUCAAGAUUUUAUUUUAUUUUAUUUUGGUCAAAAGAAUCAAUUCCUUAAUUUUCUGAUUGGUUCGUUGUUUUUUCUUUGAAUUGCUCGUUACAUGAUUGACCGUUCAGUUUGUUUUUUCCUAACCGCAAAGCGGAAGCUGUCAAUGUCUAUUCCAAUUUGUCUAUCUCUUCUACCUGUGUUUGCUUGCAAUGAUGUUAUAAUAUAUUCAUUUUGUUUUCACCUCAAAGAUAUUUUUCAAUAGUUGAAUUUUCAAAGAAGAAAAAAGAAAAGACAAUAAAAAACUGUUUAACGUAGCACAGUCGAUUAAUUAGCCGGUAAGAUGCUUAACCGUACUGAUUAAACAAUGACAGCAAGUUACUGAUCUUGGAAAAAAAAUAAACUAUAAGUCUUGCAUACUUUUAGUGGUAAUUUUGAUGCUGAUGGAUGGAAUGUAUGAUAGCAACACGAGUAUGGUGAAACCUGAAGUUUCUGUUUUGGGUUUUCCAAUAAUGAUUUUAAUUCAAUUGAUGGAUCUUUUAUGUGCUUGGGGGUCCAUUGUGUGUUUUCCCCAUUUUCACUGUAGGCCCGUAAUGUGUGGUUGCCUUUAACUUGGUUCCCUCUCCCUGAGUGGGGGCAAGGCGUCAUUUUUAUCAAGCAACUACCAUUUACUUAUAUUUUGCUGUACCAGAUAUCAUUUUUUUCACGUGGGCCAGCUUUAUUUAUGAAUGAAUGCUGCUCUUCACUUCUUUGGGUUUCAUAUAAUUUCAGGCUUUGCUACCUUUUGCAUGCUUACGAGGAUGAUGUAGGUAAUUGUGAUUGUGAUUGUUUUUGUCUUGUUUUUUCCCCUUACAGUUACUGUUUGAGUUAUUUUGGGUGGUGCUAUUAUUUGUUUACUUAUUUUGUUCAUGAUGUCAAUUAUCUAAUGUAUGUGAAAUCUGUAAUUCUGCAUAGUAAUGAAGUCAUCAAUUUGCCUUUUUUCCUAAAUAUUGAGAAUGUUUAUGGGCUUUUAGUUUAUCUUGCUUUUGCUUUCAAAAAAUAUUCCCUGUAUGUUUUGUUUAGCGCUCAAGUUUGCUUCUAUUUGUUUUUAGGUUCUGCAAUUUUGAUUUUUUUUAUAUCCCAGGAAAGGUUGUUGAGCUAUGGAAUAUAAAUCAUUGUGAUACUGAACAAGAAAAACUAUUCAUUGGCAACAAUGAUAUUUUAGAGGAAUUUCAUGUAAAAUUGCAGUCUAGUUGCUUAAAAGGAGGAUAAGGACACAAGUUAUUGUUAAGUGCAAACCUUUUGCCCUUGCAAAUUAACUUUGUCUGGUAAGAAAAGGACUGAACUUUAAAAGGAAUCUGAGGCUGUGAAGGGCCAUAGAAAGUAGAAUUUACUAUAUUUUUCAGUAAUGUCUCGAUGCGUUUUUUAGGAAAUUUUCAUGCUUAUAAAGUCCCUUUCCUUGCAAGUUGUGUGGUUGCUUGCCAGUUCUGACUGAUAAGAUGUUUGUCUUCUACCCAAUCUGAGCUGUCCAUUUUCAUCUGUAUGUCAUCUUUGUGCAUUUUCAUCUUUCAACUGAAUUGCACUACAUAUAUUCGACACCGAUAUAUCUUUUGUUUUCCUGCACCUCUUCUGCCCCCAACCUUUUGGUUUUCUGAAGUUAAUUGUUUAUAUUUGUUUCGUGAGGCAUGUUUUGUAUCAUUGUCCUCCAAUAAUGAAUUUGUCAAAUUUGUUUACUGUUUCUUCUUGGCCUUUAUUCAUUGUUCAUUUUCAGUUUUGAAGGAUGUUAUUCUGGAUCUGUACAUUAAUCAUAGUUCUUAAAUCAAUUCCCUGCAGAUAGUGUUCGCUUACAUAAGCUUUAAGCAGAGUAACCAAAGGAUAUGAACAGGUUCAGUUCCUAUAUCUGGUUCUUUUGAAAAACAGUGAUGGUCUUUAGCUUCAUUUUGUCUCUUUUGACACACGAAAUCCGUUUUCAGGUCCCUUAUGCUUGAUGGACUGCUUGCUUAAGAGCAGUGACAAGAAAACUUUAAAGAGGUGGUUCUUCAAUGAUAAAAGGGUUGGCUGAGUAGAAUAUCUGAGGUUGAAUAUUAAGGUUUGCUUCUUUGCACUUGAGUGGAAAGUUUGCUGAGGAGUCUGUUAGCUUUGACUUUAUAAGUAGUGUUACAAAGCUGGAUCAAAUGGACCUGAAAUCCAAUCACACUGCUCCUGUUCUGGCUGAUCCUGCACCGAUAAGCAAGUCAAGAUUAGUAGCUUCCAGUCUGUUGCCAUACUCAUCCCCAGCACCAGUGUUUUCUCCAAAUCUACUUCUAACUGUUCCCAGGAAGAAAACUGGAAUUCUCGAUGAUGUUCGCGCCAGCAGCUGGCUGGAUGCUAUGAAAUCCUCAUCCCCUCGUCAUACAAGCACGAGGGAUUACAACCAUGAGAUUGUAUCAGCUGAUACAGAUGUUGCGUAUCGCACAUGGAUGGUAUUGUUUCUCUUUUACUUCUACCCGAGUUUAAUUUUGAUACAAGUGGAUGAGUUAUUGAUCUGCUCUAUGUACUUUACUCUCUGAUUUUACAGGUUAAGUAUCCCUCUGCACUAUCAUCUUUUGAGCAAAUUACAAAUUUUGCCAAAGGCAAGAGAAUAGCAUUGUUUUUGGAUUAUGAUGGGACUCUUUCACCAAUUGUGGACAACCCAGAUUUUGCCUUUAUGUCUAUUGAUGUAAGAAUAAAUGGUUUGCCUGACAACCAUAUAUAAAAUCUUUUAGUCAAAAUUCCUCUCUCUUUUUGGUUGCUCAUGAUAGACUAACCAAAGCCAUUUAUUCAGAUGCGAGCUGCUGUAGCAAAAGUGGCAAAAUACUUCCCAACAGCAAUAAUUAGUGGAAGAAGCCGUGACAAGGUGAUUUAAGGAUCAAUUUUUUUAAUAAUUUUUUGAUCAAAAAGCAUUUUAGUAAUUCUGACAUCUUCCUUGGCACUGUUUUUCAUGCGUACUUAUCCAACUGCCACCUUCGAUAUAUUUAGUUUAUUUUAUGUGUUUGAUUGCCUCUUUGUUGGGUUUUAGUUUUGACCAUAUCUUGUUCUAUGCCUUUGUAUAUUCAGGUAUAUGGUUUUGUAGGACUAACAGAUCUCUAUUACGCGGGAAGUCAUGGAAUGGACAUCAUGGGUCCUGUUAGGGAAUCGUCCGAUGAUCCUCCUAACUGCAUUAGAUCUACUGAUAAGCAGGUUUGGGGCUUGAAAUCUCUUAUCUUUUUAUUCCCUGUGACUCUACAUUCUCUAUUAAAUUAUAUCUUAAUCUUGUUUCUCUUUAAUGCACAGGGCAAAGGAGUAAAGUUAUUCCAGCCUGCUAGUGAAUUCCUACCUAUGAUUGACGAGGUAUGUAUGGCUCUCGGGUGCCAUACUUUGAGCCCUUCAGCUUUUCCUCUUUGUUCUAACGUGGAGUUUCAUUCAUCACAGGUUUUUAACUCACUUGUUAACAGCACCAAAGAAAUUAAAGGAGCAAAAGUUGAAAACAAUAAGUUCUGUGUCUCUGUCCAUUACCGUAAUGUAGACGAGAAGGUAGAUACUUUCCUUGGUAUAAGAAAUAUUUAUCAUUUGGAAGUGAUGCUCAGUGGCAUGUCCAUUUUCCUUGCGUACUUUAUUAACUUCUGCGCACAUUCUUAUAAUUGUUUCCAGAAUUGGAAAACAGUUGCACAAUGUGUUCAUGAUGUCAUCAGAAACUACCCUCGUCUGCGAUUGUCUCAUGGGCGGAAGGUGAUCUUUGAAGACAAUAUGAUUCUCCUAUUUUUGACUCAUUUUCUGCUUGUAGCUUGUGCUAGAUAUGGAUGUUGUGAUUUCUGGUUGUGUUAUUUUAUAAUAUUAGUCAUUUAUGUUUUUUAAAAUUUAUGCAAUUAGGUUUUAGAGGUACGGCCUGUGAUCGACUGGGAUAAGGGAAAAGCUCUCACAUUUCUACUUGAAUCACUUGGUAAGUAUGUUUUCUAGACUGUCUUCUUAUUAUUUAUUAUUUUCACUGUCAUGGCAUAUGUUGUUUUUCAUGCAUAAUAAUGAAUUAAUUGUGAGCAAAAUCAAAUGCUUUAGGGCUUAGUAAUCAUGAUGAUGUGCUUCCCAUUUAUGUUGGAGAUGACCGGACAGACGAAGAUGCAUUUAAGGUAAGAUAUAAAUCACAACACCAUUGACACUCUUGAGAGUUGUGUAUGCGUUCAAAAAUAACUAACAGAAACAAGUUCAUUGGUUUAAAAACAGGUUCUGAGAGAGGGAAAUCUGGGAUAUGGCAUUUUAGUAUCAUCCGCUCCAAAGGAGAGUAAUGCAUUUUUCUCCCUUAGGGACCCUCAAGAGGUAUAAAAACAAAUCUGUUUGUUCUCAUACUGGGAUUGUUGGUGUUUGAAAUUAAUUAUGCCUCUGCCUGUGAAUGAUGCAGGUGAUGGAGUUUCUUAAAUCACUGGUGAAUUGGAAGAAGACAAGUGUUCUCUGAAUACAACAAAUAACAUAGAGAAGAAAAAUACACUGAUAAAAGCAUAGAAUAAAGAUAAAAUUUUACUAUAUCUAGUUAACACUGGGAGGCUUUGGAGUGGACGUGGUGGCGUUUCUCCAGGUCUGGUGGCCUACCAUUGCUGCUCAUUGCUUCUUGUCUUAACUGUAUAUUCCUGCUUCAGUUAUCUUUCUCACUGGUAACCGGUGAUGGAUGCUUCCAUUUUAUAUUCAUGUUUCCCAUUCUUGGCAUUCAGUUUCGGAAAGCAGCCCUCUUCCAUUGGACAACACUAAAUAUUUUUUUCAUUCUUUUAAGCAUGGAUAUUCUUUUAUAUGUAUUUUUACAAACUCCUGAUGGAAUGUUAUUUUUCAUGCAUUCUUCUCUCUCAUUUUGCAUAUUUCUUUUAAUUGAAAUACGCUCAACUGAUUUUAAGAUAGAAAUUAGUUCUUUGAUGUAUCAAAAGUCGAGUGAACCAACUUGGGGAAUUUUUUUCUGCUCAUUAUUAUUAUUCACAGCAUAACAUGAAAAUUUAAUUAAUCUUGUGAUGUUGAGCAGUUAGUCGCUGAAAUGAAGCUUAGUGACAGUAAAUCACCAUUUAAAAAAGCUUCUUCAAUACAAUGAUCACAAAACAGGGGAUUGAACUAGCUACUAGUGUAACUAUAAGUAACAUAUGGUAGCUGUUUUUCUUUCAUUUUACUUUUUGUCAGUCUAUAGUUAGUAGUUACCAUGUGGAGUGUUAUUUGAAGUAGCAUAGCAUUUAAAUCGAAUUAAGGAAGCAGCUCCUUUAAUUUAGUUUUGUUGGUUGUCAAUGCCAAUAAAAAGGAGACAGGGUUUGAAUAAUGCAAUGCAAUUCAAGACCCAAUGAUCCUAACAAACAUUCAAGGAGCACACUCAAAUCCCAAAAACCAUUCCAUCCUGAUGGAUGUGGAAAAACAAAUUUAAUUAAGGAGCCUCUCAAACUUAGAGCUCUUGCCACAGCACAUGAUGCAUUUUUCAACAGAUCAGAACAAGUACAAGGACAAUUAAUCCUAGAUUAUCUCAACAGCAUGCCACAUGACCCAUGUUCCAUUUCGUAUACAUAUGUCUGCCAUUUAAUUUAAAGGUAAACAUUUGUGAUGCCAAUGCCAAUGCCUUAUUCACCUCACAAAUCAGUAUCCAUAAACUAGCUGUUUUCAGGCCAGGAGGACCAACAUGCUCAAGACUUGGCAUUCCCUAAUGCUGUGUGUCCAUUGGUCAUUGCACGUAAAUUGGCUCUGUCUUCAUGCUUCCAAAUUAUUAUUAUUAAUGAAGAAAAAUAAUUUACUCUCUGAAAUCUUGCAACGCAAGCCACAACCCAGAAGCUAGAGAAGACAAAUAAUACGAUGAUAAUUUAUAACUAUAUGUAUAGUAGUGUAAAUGGCAAUAUAUAUUAAUAUAAAAUCCUAACCCCCAAAAAGCAAGCAACUGAGUUUGACUACCAGGUGCAGCUGCAUGCAUGCAUUGCAUGGGAUGCCCUUACCUUUUCAACUGUCCCUCUUUGUUUCACUGUAUAGCAUUCACCAGAUCUGAUCUAAUGGGACCACCUCUCUCUCCCCAGCUAAAUUGGACAACCACCAAUCCAAGCUCAAGACAUAUAAAUCUCUUCUCUUUCUCUCUAUGUUGUUCUCUCUUUAAUUUUACCUACCAUUACCCUUUUCUACCUAAUCUCUCAUUGCUUACUUAUAUUGUAAGUGUGACCAAGUAAACCAAGUACAGAAGCUCAAUGCCCAAGAUGGAGGCCAGCAGCAGCACCUCCCAUGACCCAGCAUUGUUCCAUGCUCCCUUGCUAUACCACCCUCGGAGAAGGAGCAGCAGACCCUUAAAGGGUUUCGCAGUGAUAAUUGGGUCCGUCGUUUUCCUACUCUCACUGGUCACAUUAAUCGUUAACCAAAGCCCGGAGCCAUUAGCAAGUAACCCCAGUAGUGUAACGGAGGCAGGGUCGUAUUCAAUGGCGGCGCAGCCAAGAGGGACAGCUGAAGGUGUUUCAGCCAAGUCAAACCCAUCACUUUUUGACAAAGUUGGGUUUAAUUGGACAAACGCUAUGUUUUACUGGCAAAGAACUGCCUACCACUUUCAGCCUCAAAAGAAUUGGAUGAAUGGUAGGUUACCUAAUUACAAUUUAAGUUGCUUCUUUUGAUUUUCGUCACUAAACUUUUCAUUUUAGUUUACUAUUUUUAAACUUAAAUAUGAUUUCCUUUUAAUAAUCGAAUUUAAUUUGUUGUCUUUUUCUUAUUAUGCUUGCACGUUGGUUCGGCAACUUACGUAUCUUGCUUCAGAUCCUGACGGUGAGUUCUCAUCACAUCUAAAUUCUUGUUGUUAGUCAACCAUUUCAUCAAUCAAUGCGUAAAACACAAAAAUAUCGAAUCAGAAAAUUGUGACCAACCCAAUCUGCUAGUUCUUCCAAAUUUGAGCAUUUCAACCUUGAUUUGCAAUUAAAGUUGGCUUCUACAUUGAAUUGAAUCACACCUUACCCUUUUUCUUCUACUAGAUCCACUUAUAAAUUUAUUUCUCAAUACUCAUUUAAUUAAAUUUAAAAAAUUUACAUAAUUUGUUUCAUAUAAAAAUUCAAUUCUUUAAUAUAUAAAAAAUAUAUAUUCUACAUCAAUAAGAUACUAAUAUCGAAUCCACCAUUUGUGGUAUAAUAACUGCAAUUAUAUUACAAAAUUUUAAUAAAAUAUUAAUAGCAUAAAAUUAAUUAAUUUAAAAAAUAUAUGAUUUUUUAACAGGAUUAAAUAGGACAAAUAUCUUAUUAAAAAAAUAAAUAUUAAAAGGAAAAAGACAUGAUAACCCUUAGUUUACAAUCAAUGGUUACUUGACCGUAUGGUUUGCUUACCUGUCGUUCUAACGUUUAAGUCCUAACUAACUAGUUUUGCAAAACCUUGCUUCUGUGCAUACACCAUGUAAUAGCAUGUGAUUUUUUUAGUAAUUAUAUUAAACUCUAAUAGUUUAAUUAAAGUAGCACGUGACAUAAUGGAACAAAAAUACGAUGGUCGCAGGUCCGUUAUAUCACAAGGGAUGGUACCAUCUUUUCUAUCAAUACAACCCUGAUUCAGCCAUAUGGGGAAACAUCACUUGGGGCCACGCUGUAUCAACGGACCUCAUUCACUGGUUCUAUCUCCCACUCGCCAUGGUCCCUGAUCAAUGGUACGAUAUCAACGGUUGUUGGACGGGGUCGGCCACUCUCCUGCCAGAUGGCCGAAUCGUAAUGCUUUACACCGGCAGCACCAAUGACUCCGUGCAAGUCCAAAACCUUGCAUAUCCCGCCAACCUAUCUGAUCCCCUCCUCCUUCAGUGGUUAAAAUACCCGGGUAACCCGGUUGUUGUUCCCCCAACCGGGAUCGAAGACGAAGAGUUCCGAGACCCGACAACAGCUUGGCUUGGACCCGAUGGUUCCUGGCGGAUUGCUGUUGGUACAAGGUUUAAUACCACCAUAGGAACAGCCCUUGUUUUUCAAACGACAAACUUUUCGGACUAUGAAUUAUUGGAUGGGGUCUUACAUGCUGUUCCGGGUACGGGUAUGUGGGAAUGUGUAGAUUUUUACCCCGUUGCAAUAAACGGGUCGGUCGGACUGGACACGACGGCACUUGGGCCUGGAAUUAAGCAUGUCCUGAAGGCUAGUUUGGAUGAUACGAAAGUUGAUCAUUAUGCAAUAGGGACCUACGACAUGAUAACGGAUAAAUGGACACCUGAUAACCCGGAAGAAGAUGUAGGCAUCGGGUUGAAAGUGGAUUAUGGGAGAUACUAUGCCUCCAAGACAUUUUUUGAUCAGAGUAAACAAAGGAGGAUUCUUUAUGGUUGGGUUAAUGAAACUGAUUCUGAAGCUGAUGACCUCGAAAAAGGAUGGGCUUCCAUUCAGGUAAAUUACAUACAUACAUACAUUACCACUACGAGUACUACAACAUACAUAACAUACUUUUCUACACGAUGGUAUUUUGUUUUCGUAAUUUACAGACAAUUCCCAGGAGUGUGUUGUAUGACAACAAGACCGGAACCCAUUUACUACAGUGGCCUGUGGAAGAAGUGGAGAGCUUGAGACUGAAUGCUACAGUGUUUAAGGAUGUUGUAGUUGAAGCAGGAUCAGUUGUGCCCCUCGACAUAGGCACCGCUACUCAGGUUUUGUAACUUUACCACCUCUAAUAACAACUCACCCCACCAGCACUAAUUUAUAUUGACAACAUAAAAUUAUUAAAUGCAGUUGGAUAUAUUAGCAGAGUUUGAAAUAGAGACGUUGGUAUUGAACAGCACGGAGGAUGAAGUCAGUGAUUGCGGUGAUGGGGCGGUUGAUAGGAGCACUUACGGGCCAUUUGGGGUCCUGGUUAUUGCUGAUGAUUCACUUUCUGAGCUCACUCCUAUAUAUUUCCGUCCACUUAAUACAUCCGAUGGGAGUCUUGAAACUUACUUUUGCGCUGACGAAACAAGGUUUGCUUUGUUCUACAUAUGUUUCUAAUUGCGAGUUUCAGGUAACAAGUGAAAGAACAAUAUAUAAAUGGUUUGAUGCAGGUCUUCUAAAGCUCCCGAUGUCACAAAACGAGUGUAUGGAGGCAAAAUUCCAGUGCUUGACGAUGAAAACUACAAUAUGAGGGUAUUGGUAAGUCAUAAAUAAUGUUGUCUGCUUGAAGAUAUGAUUUUGGUGAAAUUACAAAAAAUGUACUGCUACUAGUAGUCUUAAUUAGUUAAUUCGAUAAAAGAUUAUUGUAAAUUAAAAAGUUGAAUGAAAACAGGUGGAUCAUUCAGUAGUGGAAAGUUUUGGAGGAGGAGGGAGGACGGUGAUAACAUCAAGAGUGUAUCCAACGGAAGCCAUAUAUGGAGCAGCACGGCUGUUCUUGUUCAACAAUGCAAGUGGAGUGAAUGUGAAGGCCACACUCAAAAUAUGGGAGAUGAAUUCUGCCUUUAUUCGUCCUUUCCCAUUUGAAGAAACAUUAUUCCAGGAAAUGGUUGCUUCCACAUGAUUAUCAUUUGGGAAGGGUGGAUGCCCCCAGUCUACAAAACAUAUUAGUAUUAUGUUUUCAGUGCAUAAUUUUUUUUAUUUGUUGGGCAUGUCCAUUCAUUUUGUAUUGUCGCCUGGUAUUUGGUUGAGAAUAAAUCGAUAAAAUUUUGAGAUUCUUAUAUUUUUCGUCUUUACCUUACCUAAUAAUAUAGGAAAAAAGGGAUUUUAUGAUAUUAUGAUUCCACAUCAUCUUUUAUAUCUUUUUAAUAGGAGAAUGAUAAAUUAAAUUUUUUCUCUUGAUUUUAAAUUUUUUCCUUCUAAAAAAGUUCAAAUCUAACUAAAAAUCGCAUUAACUUAAAAUUAAUAUCCAAUUAACCCAAGAAAACAAUAAGAAAUCGUCACUACUUAUAACUAUAUGAUAAGAAUUACGGACAUCAAAUCCUAAAAAAAAGAAAAAGUAUCAUAGAGGCCUUAUAUUAAUCUGUACACAUUAGAUUAAAAAGUAAAUUAGUUUUAUUAAAAAUUUCAUCCAUUUCUACUAUUAAAAUUUAGUCAUUGUAUGUCAGCAUAAGGUACACAUAGCACAUUACGUGUCACUGUUUAGUUAUUCUGUUAGCUAUUCUAAUUUUUAACAGUAGAAAUAGAUGAAAUUUUUAACAAAAAUGACCAAUUUGCUCAUUAAUCUAAUGUACAAAAAUUAAUUUAUUUAUUUUUUUAAUACAAGAACAAAAUGCAAUUUGACUCUUAAUACAAAAUCUUUCAUGGUAUUUUUACCAAUCAACAUUAGUUCAUCUAUCUUUAAUUAAGCAACAACGAGUAGACAUAUUUCUUUAUGAGCAUUCAUGCAUUACAACCAACAAGGCUUUCAUUAUUAAGCAGUUGAUAGUUUUGAAUAUUAACAGUACUCGAUUUAUACCUAUGCAGGAAGUUAUUCUGUAACAGUUAAAGCCAGAUACUCUACUACUUGCAUGUUAGCUAUGUUAGGAACCUUCCACACCAUUAUUGUACAAAUCAAAUGUUUUUUUUAGAGGAUGUACAAAUCAAAUGUUGAUAUAUAAUGGUAGCCAACAAAAUCUCUGUAACCACAUCCACAAGCCCCACACUGAUUUGCUUUUAAGCCCUCCGGCACAAAAGCUUUACCAAUCAAAUUUCUUGAGGUGAGCUUUCCACCUUUAACUAUUUACCACUAGCAGACAAGUCUAUACUAUAAUCCUUUAUCCAACAUCAAUUUUCUAACUCUUUCCGCAUCCUCCACCCUCCCUGCAUUGCUAUAUAUCUUCAUCAAUAACUCAAAAUUAUGUUGGUUAUCCGGCUCCAGCUCGAAAAGUUUUUGACCUGCAAUCUCUCCUAUUUGUAUGUUUCCAUGAACCGAACAGGCAUACAGCAUUGCUCCCCACACGGUUGGCCCUGCCUCAAACUCCAUUCUCUCCACUAUCAUGUUGAAAGCCUCAUCUAUCAGCCCUGCUCUCCCGUAAAGAUUUAUCAUGCAAGCGUAGUGCUCCAUUCUUGGAUCAAUCCCGUACUUCUUUCUCAUCAACCAAAACAACCGCUCUCCGUCCUUAACCAAACCUAAAUGAGCACAAGCCGAUAGUAUUGCUACAAACGUGAUGCUAUCAGGUGAAGUACAGCUCCUCACCAUCUGUUCGAAGUACAACAGAGCUUCUGGGUUUUUACUAUGACCAGAGAUUAUUGAAUUCCAUGACACAAUAUCCCGCUCGGGCAUUCGUUGAAACAACCAACUUGCUCCAUCUAACUUGCCAAGAUUAGAAUACACAACGAUCAUAGCAUUAACGACAGAUGUAUUCCACUCAAUUCCUCGCCGGAGAACCCAUCCGUGUAUCUGUGCCGCAGUCUUCAAUGAACAAAAACUAGACAGAAUAGUGGAUAUAGUAACAGAGUCAGGCUCAAAUCCCUCUUGAAUCAUCCCACGGAAUACCUGCAAAGCCCCAGCCAAUAACCCGUGACGAAUAUAACCCGUCAACAUGGAAUUCCAAGAAAUGUUAUCCUUACAAGCAAUGCUAUCAAAAACCCGCCUAGCCUUAACUAUGUCUCCACAUUUUGCGUACAUAUCAAUAAGAGCAUUAAGCACAAACACGUCAUUUCCAAAACCCUUACGCACCACAUCGCGGUGAACAGCCUGCCCAACAUGAAUCGACCCAAUUCCCGCGCAAGCCUUCAAUGCGCGAGGAAAUGUGAAUCGAUCAGGUUCAACACCCUCUUCCUCCAUUUGAAAGUAAAGGGCUAAGGCAUCUUCAUAUUGUCCCAGUUCUGCGUAUCCCGAGAUAAGAGAAUUCCAGGGAAAAGCGUACUCGUUUCGUUUAGACAUUUGAUCAAACACUUGAUGGGCACUUUCCAUGCGUCCAGCCGUAGCAUACAGCCUUAACAGUUUGGAAGAGAUGCCCGUGUUUUUACGCAAUAAGUUCUGGGGAACAAGACGAUGAAUUGCGAUGCCGUGGUCGAUGGAUUUUAGUUGGUAACAUGUUUCUAACAGAGAAGAGAAUAUCUCUGAAUCUAUUAUUAUGCCUUUUUUGACAGAGGCUUCGAGGUCUUUAACGAUAGAGUCUACGGCUUGGAGUUUAGUUUGGGGGAAGGGUUUGUUGUUGAUAAAGAGUGGGGUUGGCGAGGAUCUUGGGAAUGGGAGGGCAGGGGCAGUGUUUUUAUUAUGCUCAAACUGUCUUCGCUUUUGCUUCUGGUUCUUCUUGCCUUUAGAAGAGCAGUGAAAAUGGAGAGUCAAUGGUAUAGUGUGUGGCUGCAGUUGUAAAAGAGCAACCAUUUUCAGAGAACGAAGACCGUUAUUGGCAACACCCAAAGUCCCGAUAAGAAUUUUUACGCAUGCAGUGGUUUUUAAAGUCUUUAUUUACAAUUUGGACCCUGACUUAUACAUUUUCUUUAUAUUGGUACUUAACUUUGUUUUGUCCACUUUCACAAUUGAACCAUCAUUUUCAUCCCAAUUUACCCAAAAAAAACAAAGUUGGCAAUAAAAACAUGACUUACGUCCACGUUAAUAACUUUUAGAGUAAAAUAGGAGGAAAAUUAUAAUUCAGGUACUAAAGUGGAAAACGAAAAGUUUACAUUCCAACGUGAAAAAACAACUACAUUUCAAGAGCCUCUUGAAAUCAUGAAUAAAGCCAUUUUUAAAUCAUAGAACAACUUUGAAAACCUAAUUGAGAUAGACUACCGCAAGAGGGGGUUUGAUUUAUUCUGCACUUGAAAGCUUCAAUAAGUAUUGAAGCUCAUAUAUUUAUUUGCAUGUUAUUUAAGUAAACUGAGCUUUAAGGUAGCAAUCGUUCAAACUAUCAUGUAUAUAUGAAAGUAAUGAAAAGCAUCUGUUUUCAAGACAUUAUUUUAGUACAUCAUGGGCACCCUCCUUUUUUUACCUCAACCAGAUUUACAUCCUUCUUUUCUUUUCAUUUCCUCAUCUUGCUAGAAACUUUUGAAGGUCCUGUGACCCUCAGCUGGCCUUGACUUUGCCCUAAAAACAAGGUAAAAAGGAUACUCCUGUUUUUGUGAUGCUCUUGUUUCACAAGAAUCUUACCCAACAGUCUGCUGCAACAAAAAAUAAAAUCAAAUAAGAAAUCAACAAAUCAUUUCAAAACCCAAACCUAUGUACUGCAUAUUGGUAUAGACAUUACAAUUGCUGGAGGACACUAAUGUUGUUCUUGCGACUAUUCUCCCUCUAGCUCAUAUCUAUCACUACCACCAGGGCAGAAAUGUUCCAGUUCCACCGGGUAUUUAAAGGGAUGGCCUUUUCUAUUGUUACAAGUAAUUAUAUAUUCAAUAAAGUUCACAAGAAGCAUAAUCUUGUUCUAGAUAAGAAACAUAACAAAAAUGCCAAAAAGGUUCAAUAAAAACAAUGCAGUAGUCAUGUUUUCUGAUUCAAAAUGUAACAAAAAAAAAACAGCAAAGCUGGAUAGAAAGGAUCAUUGCACUCACAGAACAUACCUCAAACGCAGCAAAGAUUGGACGAACUUGUUCAAAUAUUUCAUCUUCUGUUCCUAUUGCCUUGAUCUGCAAGUAUUUGCUUCAUUUACUAUAACCAAUAUGCUAUGUAAGCUGCCACAAAUUAGAAAGGGAAAAACAUAAAGCCCCAAAGGAGACAAUUUUAUAUAUCUACCGUAUAGAGCUUUCCUUUCUCAGAGUAGUAGUUAAUAACUGGAAGACUCAAUGCCUGAAAAACUGUAAGACGUUUUUUGAUUGUUUCUAAGUUGUCAUCAACUCGACCCUGCAAUAAGAAAACAUCAUACUUCAAAAAACAGGUUUAAUGUGAUUCAAAUUAAGCCAAAAAGUUAUCAACAUGUACCUCAUUACGAUUCAGCACACGUUUCACCAUUUCUUCUUCUGGGCAAUCAAAGAAAAGUACAACAUUUGGCUCUACACCAAUCUGAGAUUGCCAUUCAGAAAGCUAUAUUAAUGAUAAAAAGGUCUUUUCUUCAAAUAUUCACACAUAUGUCAUCACUUUUUCAGAGAGUUUUUUCAACCCAACAAGCAAACAACUUUAGGAAACACAUAAUUAACAGCUUUGGAAGGCAAAUAGUCAAAUUUAUUUACAGUUCUCACACACACACACACACAAAAAACCCAUUAGGGGAAAAACGAAGGGAAAAAAAAAGCUCACAAUUUGUUCAAAUGAUACUCGGUUCUCCUCAGUACGUGGGAAGCCAUCAAUGAGAAAUUUGUGAUUGUCACUUAAUUCCAUCUCCUUUUGUAUCAGUUUGACUGUCACCUGUGACGGGACAAUUUUUCCUUCUUUAAUUGUGUUAAGAAUCAUGGCACUGGAAUCAAAGAUAUAUCAUUAGAGGAUAAGGAUUACUUAGUCACUUGGCAAUAUGAUUUGUAAACAAUGAUGAGAAAUCAUUACCCAUCUGCACUCUUAGAAGCUAUUUCCCUUCUCAACAAAUCUCCUGCACUCAAAUGUGCGAAUCCAAAUGUCUCAACUAUCUUUAUACACUGAGUCCCUUUUCCACUACCAGGGCCACCUGAAAAUUGAAAGGCAGGUGGAAAACUCUGAAUAAAUGUAAGCUCCAGAUGAAAAGUUUACUAAACAAAAGAUGUCUAUUUGAACACUUCAAAAAAGCAGUAUCGCACAUACUGUAUCAAAGCCUGGUGUCACAAAUGGUUUCCAUGUGAAAGUAGGGUGCAAAAAUCUGUCCAAACAUUUAUACAGGAUAUAGUUUUUGACAUCACCGUUCCCUUUAAUGCAAUAAAAGAUAAAUGUUGAUCUAUCAAAAGAUUUACAGCAGUGGUAUAUCAAUAAAUAACCUCAAGUAUCAUUUGCAUACUAACCAUACAAUAAAUGGCAAGUGACAUCUAAUAUAAUUAACCAAAUAAUACAAUUAUAUUGUGAACUAUGUAACCCAUGAUGUUUUGCUGCACUCAGAAAGCCAAAAGAUUCAAGUUGGGUCAGAAGCAACCAUUCCUUUGGUUAGGCAAAAAAUCAAGCAUGCUGGAUGUGCAAUUUGCAUCUUUAAUUUUGUUUUCUUCUUGAAAAUAGAAUUUAAAAUAUAAAUAUAUCAAAAAAAGAGAAAUGAACUUAAGGAGAAAAUAAGGUUUAAAAUUGUGCAAAACUUCCCAAGCUCAAAGAAUUCCAAAGCCAACACAAAGCAUAGCAAAUAAGUGUGAUUUUGCAUGAUACCAUAUAAAGUAAGAACGGAGCAUUACUCAUUCAUGCUAGCAAUGCGCAAGAUUUACCUAGGACAAAAGUUAUGAAUGGAGUUUUCUCUUUGGGGGCUAUUACACCUUUUGCCUGCAUGCAGAUAAUGAUGAACAAAAAAAAAAAAAACUCAUUUUAAGAAUAUAUCACGGAAUAUUUACUGUGCUGUAAGCAAGUAAGCAUCAAAAAAUUAACAAAACCAACAAAAGUAAAAAGAAUUAAAAUGUAAAUGAAUUUGAAACAGACAAAACUUAUCUGACAAACAAUCACAGUAGCACAAGGAUUAACAUGAAAUAAGUGAAUAAGUCGAAAUCCUGGGGCUAUAGGAUCAAUAUACUAAAUCCUAAAUUAUUCAUACCAAACCAAAGGUGGUCAAAUUGAUACAUGACUGAUAACAGGAUACAUUUUAAAUGCUUUGGCACCAUCUCCAUCUAACAUAUUUAUGUUGAAUUGAUCUGUCCAAACUCAAACAAGGUGUCUCAAAGUAAGUUGCAAAAUUAACUAGAAUCUACAUUUUCCCUCCUAGGCAAUACCCACAUAAGAAAAGGAAAGUAAAAAUAACAGCACACUCUUAAAAGUCAACCCAUAAACGAGGGCCUUUUUUUGGGCGAAGAAUCAGUCAGUUUUGAAGAUUCAAUCUGUCCAAGUCUAACACAAGUCCAAAUGCAACAAGAAAUGUUCUUCAUUUUGACAAUUGGAUUACAAUACCUGUUGGGCGAUCCCUGUUGUUAAUGAUUCCCAAGUGUUGAGCCUAGACGCUGUCUAUAAAACAGAAACGAGAAAACGAGUGCUAAAAGUGAUGAAUAACAGAAAAAGUAAACUAAAAAGAAGAGAAGAACAGAAGAGAGAUAAAUGAAGACCCUUUUUUUUAUUAAUUUGCAUUGAUUUUCAAUUGAGAAGAGGUAGAAGAGAAUCGGAACCUGGGCAAGAAAGGAGGAUGAGAUGGAGGAAGAAAGCGAAGCCACGCGCCUCCACAUCUCUGUCAGACUUGGUCUUCGUCUUUAGUUGCUAUUUCUCUCUUAUUCGUUGUUUAUUCAGGUAUAAUAAAAGUUUUGAGGAAUGAAGAUGAGGUGGGGUUUGGGGGGUUGUUACUGCUAUGGAGACAUUAUGUCGAACAAAUAACGUGCACCAUGUGAGAUGUGUCGUGCGGAGGAACGCUAAGCGGCGAGGCAGCAAUUGUAGUAAUGAGAGAGUGAAUAGUGCAGUGUGUUGUCUUGAUAUGGGGGCCUGGCGAACGAAUCAAAUUCCCCUUGUUUGUUUGAAAAUUGAUUGAUGCCUCAUGUUAACAUUAAUGGGAGACAACAUUAAUGGCAAACAAUACAAAGUGGUGCAAGUUUAGCACCCUAAAUUUGACUUUGAAAAAGUGGCAUGGGAUAAUUUUUUUUUGGUCCUUGAGAUAAUGGGCUAUUUAUUGUUUGGUCCUUAAACCUCAACUAUAAAUAGGCCUUCUCAUUUCUCAUUUCAAUUCAUCCCAACCAAUCUUUCUCUCUUAGUUUUCUCUCUUCUCCCAUUUGAGAAUUCUUAAGGAAUUCUAUUUGUUUGUAAUACUUUGAAGAUAGUAAAGUUAUCAUCUGGUGUUAGUGCCCGAGGACGUAGGUAUAAUUUACCGAACCUCGUUAAAACUCUUGUGUUCUUUCUUGUCCUAUUUUUCUUUCAAUAUUUGAGGGUAUAAUAGUAGUAUUUAAUUGUGCUAUUAAAUUACUAUAGAAGGGAUAUUCUGUCUAAGGAAAGACUUGGUAUUUAAGAGAUCCUUGUGAUCCACCUCUCUUCCCUGGGAAUUGAACUUUGUGUGAUUUUUUAGUACAAUAAUUUACACGCUUCCGACCCUAUUGGAACAACAAGUGGUAUCAGAGCCGAAGGUUAAUCGUAGUAUGCUCUGUGGUUGCAGUUUGAACUGAUCUUCCACAUCAGAAAAGAUUUCCUUAGGUAUAUUGAAAGAUUAUGGAGAAAACGGUCGGUGUAGGAGCUUCAACAUCGUCCAUGUGGACAAGACCGACAAUUGCAAAUGCAAGAUUGGCCGUGGAGAUCUUUGAUGGCACGGGCCAUUUUGGUAUGUGGCAAAGUGAGGUUCUAGAUGCCCUUUUUCAGCAGGGUCUAGACAUUGCCAUUGAUGAAGAGAAACCAGAUGAUGUACAGGAGAAAGAUUGGAAGGCGAUCAAUCGGUUGGCAUGUGGCACAAUUCGAUCAUGCCUUUCUCGAGAGCAGAGGUAUGCUUUUUCAAAGGAGACUUCUGCAAAUAAGUUGUGGGUGGCACUUGAAGAAAAAUUUUUGAAGAAAAACAGUCAAAAUAAGCUCCACUUGAAGAAAAGACUGUUUCGCUUCACAUACGUCCCAAGUACCACAAUGAAUGAUCACAUCACCAAAUUUAAUCAGUUAGUCACUGAUUUGCUGAAUAUGGAUGAGACAUUCAAAGAUGAAGAUUUGGCUUUGAUGCUGUUGGGGUCACUUCCUGAGGAGUUUGAGUUCCUAGAAACUACUCUACUUCAUGGCAGGAGUGAUAUAUCUCUGAGCGAAGUCUGUGCGGCCUUAUACAGUUAUGAACAGAGAAAGAAGGACAAACAGAAAAACUCAAUCAGAGAUACAGAAGCUUUACUAGUCCGAGGUCGUUCAUACACUCGGAAGAAAACUCAAAAGGGGAGAUCAAAGUCAAAGUCCAGACUCGGGAAAGAUGAAUGUGCUUUUUGUCAUGAGAAAGGCCACUGGAAGAAAAAUUGUCCAAAGCUGAAGAAUAAGGGAAAAGCUGCUGUAGAUGCUUGUGUUGCUAAGCAUGAUACUAGUGACUCUGAACUAUCACUGGUUGCAUCAUCAUCGUCGUUCCAUUCAGAUGAGUGGAUAUUGGAUUCGGGUUGUACCUAUCAUAUGUCCCCUAACCGGGAGUGGUUCUCUGAUUUAGUAGAACUAAAUGGAGGAGUUGUUUAUAUGGGCAAUGACAAUGCCUGUAAAACUGUUGGGAUAGGUUCAAUCCAAUUAAAGAAUAAAGAUGGAUCAACCAGAGUUCUGACUGAUGUUCGGUACGUGCCCAGUUUGAAGAAAAAUCUCAUCUCAUUGGGAGCCUUGGAAUCCAAUGGUUCAGUUGUUACUAUGAGAGAUGGGGUUUUGAAAGUGACAUCUGGCGCACUUGUGAUAUUGAAGGGCAUCAGGAAAAAUAACUUGUAUUACUACCAAGGUAGUACAGUUAUUGGAGCAGUCGCUGCAGCUUCCGGUAACAAAGACUUGGACUCAAUGCAGUUGUGGCAUAUGAAGUUGGGACAUGCCAGCGAAAAAUCCUUGCAAAUUCUGGCAAAGCAAGGAUUGUUGAAAGGUGUAAAGGCUUGCAAAUUAAAAUUUUGUGAGCACUGUGUUCUGGGAAAGCAAAAGAGAGUGAAAUUCGGCACUGCUAUCCAUAAUACAAAAGGUAUUUUGGAAUAUAUUCACUCAGAUGUGUGGGGGCCUUCCAAAACACCUUCAUUGGGAGGAAAACACUACUUUGUUACUUUUGUUGAUGACUUUUCCAGAAGAGUUUGGGUGUAUACCAUGAAAACUAAAGAUGAAGUGCUUGGAGUUUUUCUUAAAUGGAAAACUAUGAUCGAAAACCAGACUGGCAAGAAAAUCAAGCGGCUUAGGACGGACAAUGGAGGGGAAUAUAAAAGUGAUCCGUUCUUCGAUGUGUGCCAAGAGUAUGGUAUUGUUCGACACUUCACAGUUAGGGAUACACCACAGCAGAAUGGAUUGGCAGAGCGUAUGAAUCGAACAUUGCUGGAGAAAGUUCGAUGUAUGUUGUCCAAUGCUGGGUUGGGCAAGCAAUUUUGGGCUGAGGCUGUGACAUACGCUGGCCAUCUUGUUAAUCGUUUGCCAUCAUCUGCAUUAGAAAGAAAAACUCCUAUGGAGGUAUGGUCUGGAAAACCGGCUACAGAUUAUGAUUCCUUACAUGUGUUUGGAACCACUGCAUAUUACCAUGUGAAGGAGUCAAAGUUAGAUCCGAGGGCAAAGAAAGCUCUCUUUAUGGGAAUCACUUCUGGAGUGAAGGGAUUUCGUCUUUGGUGCUUAAGCACAAAGAAAAUGAUCUGUAGCAGAGAUGUUACCUUUGAUGAAUCUACCACAUUGAAAAAGGUAGCAGAUAAAGAUAUUCAGACGAGCAAUACUCCACAGCAGGUGGAGUGUACUCCAAAACAGGUGGAGUUUGAGCAGAUGGGGAUUUGCCCAGUUAAUAAGUCUAAUUCUCCAGCCACAAUGGAGGAAUUAGAGGUUGAAGAGGUUCUGACCCAAGAACCACUAAGUACACCAGAACCAGUUGCAGUUGCAAGGCCACGGAGAGAAAUUCGUAAACCUGCUCGAUUUACUGAUAUAGUGGCCUACGCCCUUCCCGUUGUUGAUGAUAUUCCUAUCACUUAUCAAGAAGCAAUGCAAAGCUUAGAAAGUGAUAAAUGGAAAAGCGCCAUGGAUGAAGAAAUGCAGUCUCUCCGGAAGAAUAAUACUUGGGAGUUGGCGCAAUUACCGAAAGGUAAAAGGGCAAUCGGAUGCAAGUGGGUAUUCGCAAAGAAAGAUGGAUCUCCUAGCAAGAAGGAUAUUCGCUACAAGGCAAGAUUGGUAGCUAAAGGCUACGCUCAGAAGGAGGGAAUUGACUACAAUGAUGUAUUUUCCCCUGUUGUGAAGCAUUCCUCCAUUAGAAUUUUGUUGGCCUUGGUAGCACAGUUGAAUUUGGAGCUAGCUCAACUUGAUGUUAAGACGGCUUUCUUGCAUGGUGAGUUAGAAGAGGAGAUCUAUAUGACUCAGCCAGAAGGAUACACAGAUGCUGGUGGUAGAAAUUGGGUUUGUAAGCUUAACAAAUCGCUAUAUGGAUUGAAGCAAUCCCCGAGGCAGUGGUACAAGCGAUUUGAUAGCUUUAUGAGAAGGCAGAAGUACACAAGAAGCAAAUAUGACAAUUGUGUAUAUUUGCAGAAGCUGCAUGACGGAUCUUUCAUUUAUCUACUCUUGUAUGUUGAUGAUAUGUUAAUCGCUUCGAAGAGCCAAAAUGAGAUAGAUAAGCUGAAGGCUCAGUUGAAUCAAGAGUUCGAGAUGAAAGAUCUAGGUGAGGCCAAGAAGAUUCUCGGCAUGGAGAUAAGUAGAGAUAGACCGAGAGGCAAGCUCUGUUUAAAUCAGAAGCAAUAUCUGAAAAAGGUAUUACAAUGUUUUGGUGUAAAUGAAAACACAAAACAUGUAAGUACCCCACUUGCUUCUCAUUUGAAACUUAGUGCUCAAUUAUCUCCGAAGACUGAAGAUGAAAGAGAAUAUAUGGCGAAAGUCCCAUAUGCUAAUGCAGUUGGGAGUUUGAUGUAUGCGAUGGUGUGUACGAGGCCUGACAUUUCACAAGCUGUUGGAGUUGUGAGCAGGUAUAUGCAUGAUCCUGGAAAAGGACAUUGGCAAGCUGUGAAAUGGAUUCUACGGUAUCUUCGAAAAACCGUAGAUGUUGGUUUAAUUUUUGAACAGGAUGAAGCACUUGGUCAGUUUGUAGUUGGAUAUGUUGAUUCCGACUUUGCUGGUGAUUUAGAUAAACGUCGUUCAACUACGGGGUAUCUGUUUACUCUUGCGAAAGCCCCAAUAAGUUGGAAGUCUACCUUACAGUCUACAGUAGCUGUGUCUACUACAGAGGCAGAAUAUAUGGCAGUUACAGAAGCUGUUAAGGAGGCUAUUUGGCUUAAUGGAUUGUUGAAAGACUUAGGAGUUGUUCAAAGUCACAUAAGUUUAUAUUGUGACAGUCAGAGCGCUAUUCAUUUAGCGAAAAAUCAAGUCUAUCAUUCAAGAACCAAGCAUAUCGACGUAAGAUAUCACUUUGUGCGGGAAGUCUUUGAAAAAGGAAAAAUUCUACUUCAGAAGAUUCCGACAGCAGAUAAUCCCGCAGAUAUGAUGACCAAGGUGGUAACAACAAUCAAGUUUAAUCAUUGUUUGAACUUGAUUAACAUCCUGAGAAUUUGAGCACCUUCAGGUGUAUGGCGCCCGAGAGUGCAUUUGUAGGCACUACAAAAGAUAGCUUUAUCGAAUUUGGGGAGUUGAAGGAAGUGUGUGAAGAUGUGAUUAUCCUAAUCAAAUCUUCAAGGUGGAGAUUGUUAACAUUAAUGGGAGACAACAUUAAUGGCAAACAAUACAAAGUGGUGCAAGUUUAGCACCCUAAAUUUGACUUUGAAAAAGUGGCAUGGGAUAAUUUUUUUUUGGUCCUUGAGAUAAUGGGCUAUUUAUUGUUUGGUCCUUAAACCUCAACUAUAAAUAGGCCUUCUCAUUUCUCAUUUCAAUUCAUCCCAACCAAUCUUUCUCUCUUAGUUUUCUCUCUUCUCCCAUUUGAGAAUUCUUAAGGAAUUCUAUUUGUUUGUAAUACUUUGAAGAUAGUAAAGUUAUCAUCUGGUGUUAGUGCCCGAGGACGUAGGUAUAAUUUACCGAACCUCGUUAAAACUCUUGUGUUCUUUCUUGUCCUAUUUUUCUUUCAAUAUUUGAGGGUAUAAUAGUAGUAUUUAAUUGUGCUAUUAAAUUACUAUAGAAGGGAUAUUCUGUCUAAGGAAAGACUUGGUAUUUAAGAGAUCCUUGUGAUCCACCUCUCUUCCCUGGGAAUUGAACUUUGUGUGAUUUUUUAGUACAAUAAUUUACACGCUUCCGACCCUAUUGGAACAACACCUCACUCCCUCCCUCGUUUCUUUUUCGAGGAAGAAUGAUUUGAGAUUUCGGGAUUCGUCUUCUAACUAACAACUUGACUCAUUCUUAGAUCAUAAUAUGAAUAUAAUUAUGAAUAGAAAUUACGCAAAUAAGAUGCUAUUUUAUUCCUACAACGUCUAAUAUUUGAUCACGAAACGGAACUAACUACUUUAUCAAAACUGGAAUUACCCACCAAACCCAAUAAUCAACGCAAGCAACACAAGAAUCGAGUGUUUUAUAUGUUACGAUAUUUGAUUUGUAAAUUAAUGUAGGUAAAUGCGUCUAAACAAGCAUUUCAAUCUUUAACAAAAAAUUGAUAAAAAAACAAUAAUUUACUAGAAAAUUGUUGGAAAUUUUAUAAUUUUUAGAAAUUUUGAAAUAUAUUAUCGAUUGGUAAGGUAGAGAGUUGAAUCAUAAAAUUACGAUUUUAUAUUCUACUCCAUGAGACUUUUACAACUGUAUAUCAUAUGCUCAAAAUAGUUGAGUGAUGAAUGAGAAAUUAAUACUCAAAGUAAGUUACUUGUGAGUAUUUGUUGAGGAAAAGAGAAGUUUAGAUCCCACAUUGGUUAAAUAUAAGUGUAAGAUUUGUCUAUAUAUGAAAACCCACUUGAAAAAUAAUUUAAUGAUUAAAUUUGAAAUCUUGCCUCGCACCCAAGAUGGGGGUGCAAAUCUAAAUCCAUUGGGAUUGGGGACACUUAUACGACAUGAAAUGUUGGGCUUAAAAUGAGCCUACGAAUAUUUUAGCCCAACACAAAAUUUAUUUUUUUUCUCAACAAAUAUACAUAAUUUAUUUUAAAAGUACAUAUAUCUUGAUUUUAUUUGAUUCCAAUGAAUUUGAUUUGAUUUUAUUCAAAUUAAUUUUAAAUGCUCAUUAAAUGUAAAUUUUGUAUCUUUAUUCAUGGAAUUUUUCAAAAUUCCACCAUAUUGAAUGUCUAAAAAAGCUUAAAGAAUUCUUCAGAAUUUUUUACACACACAACAAAUUUAUUUUACUCUUGAAAAUUCUUCUCUUUUUUUCUCUCCAUAUUUUCCAACGUUUCAGUGAUACAAUAAAGUAAGGUCUGUUUGUUGAUCACUGCAGAAGUGUUAUUGCUUCGAUUAUCUUGUUGUUGUAUCCUAAGAGAUAGUCGACCAACGUUUCUCCAAGUAUCAUAAGAGCAGUCAAAUCUAUCUUAAGGAAACUAUGUAAAACAUGUCUUAAUAUCUAGUAAAACUCAAUUAUUUUAUUCGAUUUCUGGUUUUCAAUCUUAUUUAUUUAAUUGAUUUUUCAUAUUUGAUAUUUUAAAUAUAAAUAUUUAUUUUAUUUUUAUAUAAAUAUUUAUUUAUAUUUAUAUUUAUAUUUGUUCGCUAACGUGUUUUGUCCAACAAUCUUAAGACAGAUUUUAUUAUUUUACAAUUCUCUAAUUUUAGACAAACUAGACACCAAGACGAAAAGAAAAAAAAAUUGUUGUAUUUUAUUUGAGAAUAAAAAAUUAAAAUUGAAUAAAUUUUGUUUCAGGAUUUAUUCCCGUCGUUUAAUAUAUUUUAUUCUAUUUUGAUUUUGUUUCCAAUUCAGAAUUAAAAUUAAAUAAUUCUAUUUGGGAAUUUAUUCAUGACGCUUAACAGAUUUUAUUCCAUUUUGAUUUUGUUUUCGAAUGAGAAUUAAAAAUUAAAUAAAAUUUAUUUUGAAAUUUAUUCCCGCCAUUUAACAGAUUUUAUUUGAUUUUGAUUUUGUUUCUCAUUUGAAAAAAGUAAAAAUUCUCGUUUAAAAACAAAAUCAAAAUGGAAUAAAAUCGGUUAAACAACGAAAAUAAAUUCCUAAAUAGAUUUUAUUUAAUUUUAAUUCUCGUUUGGAAACAAAAUCAAAAAGGAAAAAAAAUCUAUUAAACGGUAUGAAUAAAUUCCAAAACAGAUUUUAUUCAAUUUUAAUUUUUUUAUUCUCAAAUAAAAUACAACAAUUUUUUUCUUUUCGCCUUGGUCUCUCAUUCAUCUCGGAUUAAAGAAUUGUAAAAUAAUAAAAUAUGUCUUAAAAUUGUUGGACAAAAUACGUUAAUGAAUAAAUAUAAAUAUAAAUAAACAAAUAUUUAUAUUUAUAUUUAAAAUAUUAUAUAUGAAAAUUAAUUAAAUAAAUAAGAUUAUAAAAACUAAAAAUCAAAUAAAAUAAUGGAAUUGAAUUAGAGAACUCAUUCCAUCCAAAUUGUAAGUGAAAAUAUCGCUACAAAAUAUUUUUUCCUGAGCUUGUCUAUGCAUCAUUCUAGUUUACAACAAUUCAAAGAGUGCAACAUACAAAUUGUUCAGUUCAAGUAAAAACAUUGUACUUUGAAAAUUAUAUUUCUUAAUUGUUUUGCAUACGAAAGGGAAAUAAUUAUUCUCAAAAAAAAUUCUAGAGACAACCUUCGGUGAAUGUAGGGGUAUGCAUUCAGUUGGUAUGGUUUUUUAUAUCGAAAAUCGAAUAAAUAGAAUUAUUCAUGUAAAAUUGUAAAUCGAAUAUUUUUAAUUCGAUUUAAUUUGGUUUUUAAGUUUUUUUUUAUGUUGUUUGAGUUGGACAAAAAAUAUUUUCUAAUUGAGGUACGUAUUUUAUUUCCUUUAAAUUUCUUUUCACAUAAUUGGCUUCUUUCUUCCACUUUAAUUUUAGUCCUUUUAGAUUUUUUAUGGUAUCCCUUCUGUUUCUUUAGAAUUUUUAUCGUAUCACUUUUAAAUUAUUUUUUAGGGAAAAAGUCAUAGAAUAGAUGACUUGAACUGAGCAUUUGAAACCAUGAUUUCAAAUAAUAAUAAAAAAUUGAUAAAGCUCGAAGUUUUUCAAAUCAAAUAUUGAUUUUAAACUUGGAUUUUAACUCAAGCCAAAAUUUUUAGCUUUUGGAAAAUAUUUUUUAAUGAAUUUAUAUUUUUAUCCCCUCAUUAAAUAUUUUAUUUUAUAACUUUAUGUUUAAAAUAGAUAUUUUAUAUUCUCAUAAGCACUUUUUGACAAUAACGGUAAAUACUAUUAAAAAAACACCUUUUCAUGGUAUUUUUUAACCUUAAUGUGUUUAGCUUUUAAGUUUUUUUAUAUUGAUAAAAUGAAUAUCAUAAAAAAAUUAUCAUUUCAAAUUGGGUUUUAAAUUUAAUUGGGUAUUGAGUUGUAAAGUUUUAAUGGGUUUCGGCUUUUAAGAAUAUUAAAUUUUAAUGUAUAUUUAAGCUUAAGAUUUAAAUUUGGAUUUAAGUAUAUAAAUAAGUUAUGGUCUUAUGGGUUUAAUAGCUAAAAUUUUAAUCGAUUUAUUAGAUUUAAAAAUAUCAAAACAGAAAAUCAAUCGAAUAAACUAAUUAAACUAAACUUUAAAAUCGGUUAAAUAAAAAAAUUGAAAAAAAAUCGAAUUUUCAUUUCAGUUCACUUUAAUUUUUUAAAUUUUUUAAAAAAAAAUGUACACCCUAAGUGAAUGUAGCUAAUGCCUUUUUUUUUUUUGUAUGAAUCACCUUCUUUAAUAUAUGAAAAUUUUUGUUUUUGUUUUAUUUUUGGUGAAAACAAAACGAAGUUAUUACAUAAGCCUAAUCAAAUCUAAAGGAGUUUCUUCAAUUAACUGAACAGUCUCAUUCUUGUCAAAAGUCAUCUUAAUAAUAUAAUCUGCUUCUAAAUUGUUUUUGCUUCUUUCUUUUGGCAUGAGUAGACAUGAAAAUUAAGGUUUCUAAAAGAAGAAACGUUGAUCUCAUUACUCAAGUUAGACCUGCCCAUGGGUUGAGCCACCGGGUCCGACUCGAAGGCCUGCUCGAAAAUUGAGAGGAUUUGAAAAAAAAUAUAUGCCGAAAAAUGGGCUUGUGCAAAAAAAAAGACCCGUUUAGAAAACGGGUCAAGCCUUGGGUAAGACAUUUUUGGUCCAAGCUCGGCCCAGCCCGAAUUCACAAAAGGAUAAAAAAAUGUUUUUUUUUUGUUUUAGUAUUAUUUUCUUGUUAUUUUCUCCCUAUUUUACUACCAUUUUACUAUUAUAUUACUACUAUUUUAUUGUUAUUGUUUUUUUUUUAAAUUGCAACUGAGAUAUAAUAAAAGAGCCAAAUAGGCUUAGUAGUCCAGUUAAGCAGACCUAAAACAAAACUAAUAAAAAUAGAACAGGCCUCCAACGUAUUGGCCCAUAAUUCAAAAAAAUAAACUGAAAAAAGAAAUGACCCUAAUAAAAUAAGAAAAUACAAAUAAAGAAAAUAAUGCUUCUAGAAAUCUCAGUUGAUCAGAAACAGCUGGCCUCCAUUAUCUUUUCAUUUCCCAUCACCGAUCCAGCCAUUAAUAGUAGCAGAUUUCCCCAAAUCUUUUUGCCGUUUGCUACUCCUUCCAACAGUCACCUCUUUGCUCUUAAUCUUAAUAUCUUGGAUUUAUCCUCUCCGCUGCUUGUUGGACGGUAUUCGGAAUCGCCCCAGCCAGGUAAUGUUCUUCUCCCUUCUUUAAAGCUUCUAUUGCAACCAAAUGGGCAAAAAUAUUAUCAGUUCUCGGAAUAUAACAAAAACAGAUACUAUUAAAAUUGGUUUUAAUCUCUUGAAUAUCUUUGAUGAUUGCUCCGAUGAUCGAUCUGUCUUGUUCUGAACUUUGACACUUUUUGAUAAUCAUUUUCGAAUCUCCCAUUAUUUGUAAAUCUUUAAGCCCCAUAGAUCUUCCUAACUCUAAAGCUUGUAACCCUACAUGUGCUUCUGCCGCGAAUGGAGUUGCAAUGUUGGUAUGGAUAUUGUAUAACAUUUGUUUUAUUGUUAAAUUUGUUAUUAUUUUAGAGGCAUUUGCUUGUUAAGUUAUAUCUAGUUUACUGUUAUUUAAGUAUACAUAUUUUUUAAAAUUUAUUUUUAAUUUGUUGAAAAAUAUUUAUUUUAAUGUUUUUAGUAUUUUUUAUAUAAUAUAUAUUUAAAAAAUAAAUAAAAAUAUAAAAAAUACCUACGGGCUGAGUUCAAAUUUUAGUAUUUUUAUGCAGACCGGGCUUUGACAAAAUUUUAAGCCCAUUUUUUAGCCGGACCUAAACCUAACGAACAUACCUAAAUUUUUUAUUGAGCCCUUCCCGAAUCCAAACUCGCAAUAACCACCUCUAACUCAAGCCAGGCCUUACAAAAUCAUUGCAAUAGUGAGCUGGUUUUAUUUAUAAAAAUCAUUUUGAAUCAAAUUCACAAUUAAAAAAUAAAUACAGAGGAGCAGUGACUUUUGAAUUUGUUGGUCGGAUUUUCAUCCUCAAUUCUAUCUUCUUGGCUCAUUCCUAAAAAAUAAAUAAUAAAGAAUUUUUUUUUGCAAAUUAUUACACUCGAUUGGUUAAGGACUACAUAUAAUUAAGAAUCAUUUUUUGAAAAAGACAAAAUUAUCACUUCAUCAUAGAUGUAGUCAGACAAUCUUUACAUAUAAAUAAUGAUGUAAUCUGCACAAACCAAUUUUGAAUCCUUUCGUUCCUCGUCAAAACACUAUCCAUACCCUUGUUUAAAGAAAAGUGUUGAGCAGGGAGGUAGGCAAAAAUGGAAGUCUAUUAAAAUUUUUAAAAUUUUAAAUUAGUUACACUUUAAUUCAUUUAAAAAUGAUAAAAAUUUAAUUUAAUUCUUUAAAAUUAUAAAUAUAUAAAAUAUUAAAAUAAUAAAAAUCUCAAAAAUUAUAAUUUAAUUUUCAUCCACUAAAAAGAUGUUGAGGGAAAAAUAUGCUCUCACAUUGGUUAAUUAAGGAUUAUAAAUAUAUAUUAAAAGAAUUCUCUUUCAUUCCCAUUAUUACGUGCAUGCAUCGAUUCAUUAGGUUGUCUGUGACCAUUUUUUUGUUUAAAGGAAGCAAGGUAUAUAAUUAUUAUUUUUAUUAAUUAUUCCAUAUAACAUAAAUAAGUAGAAUUCUUUAGAAGUUGAGAUAUCUAUAAUGUAAUAUAAAUAUUGGUGGUACCAUAUGAACUUCAAAUGAGAAAGAGGGAAAGUAGGAUCAAAUUCUUUCAUUAUUACACCAAUAAACCUUAUUAUUUACGAGCAUGGACAAACAAUGGUUAUCUACAGAAAAUACAAACAUCAUUAUGAAAUUACAAUUGCAGAAAUCCCAGAGAUAUAAAAUAAAUAGUAAGAUAAGAAAUAAUAAUGCAGUCCUCCUCCUGAAUUAAACUAAAACAUGGUAAACCAACCUAAUGAAUGUUAUAUUAGGACAAAACAUUGAGUUUUAGGUGUGCCAUAAAGAUAGGAUAAUUAUUUGGUUCAUUCAGCUUUUUAUUGCAUAACCUAAGAAAAAGCUUAUGCACACUGAAUUAAUGAAAUAUAAUGCAAGUUUUAUUACAUUAACCACUUUCCACACAUUUCUUACAUUCUUUAUGCUAAUAAAACAUGGUAAAUUGGACAAAGAAUAUAAUAAAAGAAAGGCAGGAUGGGUAGGUAGAGGAGGCUAAACUGUGAACUCAUUAGAGAGAGGGAUAAAAACAGAUAAUCAAUUAUUUAAUACAUGUGGGUCGGACCAGGAGUGCUUGAUUCCCCUUUGCAUGGAUGAAUGAUAUUGAUCACCAAUAUUCCAUGUUCAAACAAAUAUUGCAACCUUCUUCACUGAACAAACAGUUGGCUCUCGUUCUUAUAAACGAAACAGAAACUUAACCUGAAAUCCUGCAUGGAUGCAACCCGCAAGAAUGAUGAUGAGAAGUGAAAAACACCCAUUUGAUUAUAGGGAGUUUACAUGCUAGAAAGUAUGAUUAAGAUGAUGAUGAUGAAGAAACCAGAGAAAAGUAUAAAUAGGGAUAGGUAAAGGGGGGGGGGGGGAGGUAAAGCUUUUGAGGUGAGUGGGCGAGGCCUGAAAUAUGAUUUGCCGUGCAACAGCACCACUGCUGUGCUGUAGAGUUGAGGAAGCUUAGUGUAGACGUAUGUAGAAAGGCUAAUCUUAGAUUCCCGCAUGCACACGCAUGUGCACGUUACUCUUUUACUCAUGACUCAAAUUGUGGGGGGCAUUCUUUUGUUUUGAUAUUCCCACUAUAUCCACAAAUUAAGAAAAAGAAAACACAGACAGUGAAAAGUAAUAUUGGCUUCUUAAUUUUCAUGUUUUGCUGAAAAAAUCCACUUAAGUUUACAAAUUGUGUUGCCGAUGACCUUAAAGAUACAUGCACUCUGUUCAAUGCCAAUGGUAUUUAUAUGUGAUUCACAUGAUUAUAACUAAGCAUACCAUAAUUCAUAUAUAUAUAUUUUUGUUGAUUAUAUAUAACUAAUCAUUUCAAGGGGGCUUUUUAAGAGAAAAAGAAAAUUGUAUACAGGUUAGUUGGCAGUGGGCACGCCGGUGACAAAGGGGAGGUGGACGUUACAAUCUUGGCGUGGAAGAGAGUGGGUCCAAUUGUAACUGACAGGACAGAACAGAACAGUACAGGAGAUGGCGUUAAGAAUAAGCAUUUUAUUUAUUGUUUUCUUUCUAAGGAUUGCCUCUCCUCAGCUCCCCUAUUUUUGUCUUAAUUUGCAUGUAUGCAUGAAUGUCAAUGUUAUCCCAAUCCAACCAAGUUUAGAGUUGUAGCACAACCUCACCCGUACUAUUUUAAUAUAUAUAUAUGUAUAACACGAUAUCACAUCAUCUAUAAACAUCCACAACCAAUAAAAUAAAAUAAAAAAUCAUAAAUGAACGUGCCCGUCUGUAGCCAAAUUCUGAUAUAAAAAUUACUAAAUGCAAAGGGGAUCCAAAAUUUAUGGGGUGCCAUUUAGGCCAGUGCGUACUACAAAGCAUACAC